Molecule: long non-coding RNA, 55688 nt
Filed under: Gossypium barbadense (sea-island cotton)
Lineage: Eukaryota; Viridiplantae; Streptophyta; Magnoliopsida; Malvales; Malvaceae
Description: long non-coding RNA (GBAR_LNC002964)
Source: RNAcentral
CAUAUUAAAGCAUGCUCUUAGUGCUUUUCUUCAUCAUCCAACUUUUCUUUUUAUCAAUUCAAGUUCCCUUUCCCUACUUUUUUAUUUUCUUGGCUUAUUUCGUCUUGCAAUCAUGAAUUACAACACUUGCUUCCAUCUUCUUCUAGGUUUAUUCAUACCAUGUUCCGUAGUUUGCUUGGCUAUGACAGCCAGGAAUCUCAACUCCGAUCAGUUUGUGCUUCUCGAGUUUAAGGAUUGCAUUGCCGAUCCUCAAAAUGUCUUGGCAAACAAUUGGUCGGCCUCUACCUCUGUUUGCAAUUGGAUUGGUGUUUCUUGUGGCAUCAUCCAUAAAAGAGUUAUCUUAAAAGCAUGAAUCUUAGGGGUACUAUCCCUCCACACCUUGGAAAUCUUUCAUUUCUACUUUCUCUCGACUUGAGUAGCAACAAUUUAUCUGGCCAUUUGCCUAAAGAAUUGGGCAAAUUGCAUCGUUUGAGGAUCAUUCAGUUAAGCUACAACCGUCUUAAUGGGGAAAUUCCAGCAUGGCUUGGGAACUUACAAAGAGUUCAAAGGCUGGAAAUGGGAAACAAUAACUUUACAGGCACAAUCCCUCAAGCACUUGUUAACAUGUCCAAUCCAGAGAUCUUGAACUUGCAAUUCAAUCAAUUAUCUGGUCAGGUUCCAUAUUCAAUCUUCAAGAUUUCUGCCCUGAAGAUUGUUAGUCUCUUCAGCAAUAGCCUAUCAGGUAGUUUGCCUAAUGAUAUGUGUCAACAUUUACCCAAACUUGAAGGGCUUUACUUGAGUCGGAAUGAAUUAUCCGGAAACAUUCCAUCAAGUAUGGGCAAAUGCAACAACCUUCAAAUUUUGGCAUUGUCCUAUAAUCAAUUUACGGGUAUCAUUCCAAGAAGUAUUGGAAAUCUGACACGACUCGAAAAAUUAUAUUUGGGGUUGAAUAAUUUAGAAGGUAUUGAAUUUCCUUGAUUUCUUUAGUUUAAAGUAAAUUUUUUAUGAAAGAGUUUGAUUUGUAAUGGGUUAUAGAAGUGAGAAUUUUUUAUUUAAUUCAAAGCAAAAUAGUUAAUUUGAUCAAAAAAAAUAUUAUAUUAAAAUCUAAUAUCUCCAAAUUACUGUAUAACAGAAAAAGAAAACCUCUUUAAUGCUAACAAAAUAGGUAGUUUUAACACCUUGACUUUUCGACUGUCUGCAGGUCAGAUUCCGACUCCUAUCUUCAACAUUUCUUCUCUGAAGACUAUUUUUCUCUCCAACAAUAGUCUAUCUAGUAGUUUACCUAAUGGUUUGUGUUACCAUUGUCCCAUGCUUGAAGGGCUUCUCUUGGAACAUAAUGAAUUAUCUGGUAAUAUUCCAUCAAGUAUGGGUGAAUGUUACCAGCUUCAGAUUUUGAAUUUAGCAGCAAAUAAAUUCAGUGGGCUGAUUCCAAAAAGUAUUUUUAAUUCAACUAUGCCCCAAGGAAUAUAUCUAAAUGACAACAGUUUAGAAGGUAUGUGUUUCACUUUAUUUUUUUCCAAAGUCCAAAAAGCAUUCUGUUUAAUUUGUUUCUUCUUUUUUGGUCAUAUACUUUAUCAUUUUAAUUUGAUAAUAAACAAUAAGAUUUAUAUGAAUUGGUUUAUCUUAAAAUUUUUAAUUCCCAUUUAUAUAGAUUGACACUUGAUUUUAAGCAUUUAAUUUUUAAUUAUUCUAAUUAUUAUUUUUAAUUUAUUAUUCAAAUGGUUGAACAUAAUUAAAAAUAUUAAUUUAUUUAAUAUUUCAAAUGUAAUAAUAAAAUUUCAAGCCAUAAUUAAAGCAUUGCACCAUAUUUAAUAUCUAAUAUAAUUUUAGUUUAUGUAAUUAAAAAAUAGUAAUAUUAUUUAAAUAAUGACUAGUAAAUAUAGUUAAAAAAUAUAAUUUAUUUUUGUUAAUUCAAAAAUAGUGCUAAUAAAUUUUUUUAUCAUUAUCAAGGCAUCAUAAAAAAUAUAAAAAUUGAUAUAUUGUAAUUUCAUUUUUUUUUCUUUUCUUGAUAGGCAAUAAAUUGAUCUUAAAAGUUUGUAGAUGAUAUAUACUUAAUAUAAAUAUAAUAGAUUAUAUUAAACUAUAUAAAUAUAUUAUUUAUAAAAUUUAUAUAUGAAUUAUAAAGUUAUUUGUUAUAUAAAUAAUUAAAAUUUGCUCUUUAAAAUUAAAGUAAUGAACAUCUAUACUAUUAUUUAAGCUUCUAAUUGAGUUGGUGUCGUAAGUCAAUCGAGUAUAAACUCGGUUAGAGAAAUUGCAAGAAUAUUAUUUCUUAUUUAAAAUAAGUUAUAUUAUUUGAGGGUAAUUUAGUCUUUUUAUUUCAAAAAACAAAAUAAAAAUGUUAAUGGUGAGAUUUGAACUAAAACUUAACCAAAAUUUUAUUUUAAAUUUUUUAUACAUUUUGUUUUUAUUAUGCGCACUCUAUUACCUCCAUGAAUUAUAUAUAUUAAUAAUGUUGUUGAUUGAAAUUGUGUCACAAAUUAACUAGAUACCAACUUAGGAUUGACAACAACACCACGAUAAAUAAUUUCAUUCAAUUAGUAUUAUUAAUAUGACGUAUUCAUAUGUUUAAAUUUCGUUUUACUUGCAAUUUAAUCUUUUUAUUUUUUUUUAUUUUAAUAUCUUACAUAUGCCAUUUGUUAUUAGUAUUAAUCAGUGCUUUGAUUUCUUAUUGUAUAUUAUUUGGUUCUUACAUGCAUACACUUAUGAUAGAGUUUUUAAUAAUAAUUUAAGUAUAUAGUAAUUCAAUAUGUAUUUUAAAUUUUUAUUAUAUAAAUUAUUUUAAUAAUUUUUUAAUAGAAAGGAAAUUUUUAUUUAUAACGAUGCUAAAUUUUUAAUAAGUUUAUUUAAUCAAAUAUUUUAGUAAAACCAAAAUUCUUAUUUAUAAAUUUGAUAAAUGAUAAAAAAUGUUAAAAUAAUUAUCAGAUCAAAAACUUCUCAAAACUCAUACAUUUAUACAUAUUAUAGAUAUAUUUUUAAAGGUUUAAUGCACACUUUAUUCUUUAAAGUAUACUGCUUUUCUCACUUUAGUCCCUAAUAUUAUCAAACAUUUUCGACACAGUCCUUUGGUCCUUAAAAAAAUCGGUUGGGAUGUCCAACCAAUCAUAAAUUGUCAUGUGAUACACAUUCCCGAUGUCACGAUGGCAUCAUCAUUUAGACAAAAAAAACCAAAAAAUUUAAAUAUAUAUAUAUAUAUAUUCAAAUAAAAUUAUUAAAAUUAACUAAAUUAUAAAUCUAUAAUUUUUUUAAAAUUACAAAUUUGUUAAUUUUUAAAAAAAUGUAAAAAAAUAAAAUUAUUAAAAACUAUAAAAAUUAUUAGAAAUUGUUUAUUAUAAUACAACCAAUUUUUAUAAAAAAUAUUUAAUAAAUUCUUAUAUCAACAUUUUAAUAUUUUAAAAUACAUCAAGUUUUAGCGUUUUACUAGUGUUAUGUUUAUUUGAUUUAACUCCCUAUUUAAUGUCUAGAGCAAGCUUUCUCCAUCCACCGUCGUGCAUAUACUCUUUCUAUUUUGCACCAAAAAUUUUUAGAAUAGUCAAACAUUCAACAAUAGUUCUUAAGAUAUUGGUUUAGAGACAAACAAUCUAUCUUCAACUAGUAAAAAAAAUAUUUGGAAUAAUUUAGAAUAUUAUUUAUUUUACAUAAUAUUAUUUAUUUUAUUAUUUAAAUAAAUUGAAAAUAUAAGACUUAUCCAAAUUUAUCACCUAAUAAGAUGUACUGAUUAUAAAUUUUGAUUAAUUAAAUUAAAAAAUAAUUGUUAUAGGUGGCAUCCUUACAAGACACAAUGAUCACAUGGUCAAACUCUUGCCAUUUAAAAAAUUUCAAAAAUAUUAAAAUAUCUAAUAUAUUUUUAAUUUUUUAGUAUAUUCUUUUAAUUUUUAUAAUUGAUCUUAUCAGUCCACAACUCACCUUCUUCGCAGUUUGUUGAUUCUUUUUAAGUUUUUCUGAUUUUUCCCUAUUUUUUCUGGUUUUCCUUUUGCAUUUUAUUUUCUAAAAAAACUACAUUAUUAUAACGGUGAGAAAUUUUUUUUAUAAUUUUUAGUAUUCUUUAUGUUUAUUUUACGUAUAUAUAUUUUUUCUUAUUUUUUAUAUAUAUUUUUAAAGCAUUUCUUACAUUUUUAUAAAAAAAUUCUGAUAUUUUUUUUAAAUUUUUUAGUGAACUGCACAAUAUAAAAAUCUUUUUUAUUUUCAAUACAUAUUAAUUAAAAAAUAGACAAAAGUUGUAUAGAAGGAAAAUAAAGGAAUAUUGAUUAGAUGCCACAUUUUCAUUUUAAACUUUUAUUUUUGUUUGAAUUAAAGAUUUAAAAUAUUUUUAAAAAAAUUUUAAUGUAUUAUAUAUUUUUAAAUUUGAUAUUCAAUCAAUUUUAGAUCUGGAAAGUAAAGAUGAUUUCAACACAAGGCUUGGGCUAACAAUACAUAGGAGUUCAUUUUUAAUGUAUUAUAUAUUUUGUGAAUUUGGUAUUUAAUGAAAAUGUAUACUAAAAGAUGCUAUUUUACAGGUAAUUUACCACCCAUUACCAAUGCUCCAAAGCUUGAGAAUCUUUUAUUGUGGAGAAAUAAACUUAGCGGAAACAUUCCCAACUCUAUCUCCAAUGUUUCCAUGCUUAAGGAACUAGACUUGUCAGAUAACUUAUUUUCUGGCCCAAUCCCAACACUUGGCAACUUAAGGUACCUUGAAUGCCUUCAUAUCCAAAACAAUAAUUUGAUUGCAGGAUCUACUAUUGAUCAUGAUUGGACCUUUCUUUCUUCUUUGGCGAAUUGCAAGCAUCUGAAAAGAAUAAUUCUUUCAGGAAAUCCAUUGAGUGGUGUUCUUCCUACUUAUAUCGGGAACCUUUCAAACUCCCUUCGAUACUUUAUGGCCUCUAAUUGUGAGAUUAUAGGCAAUAUUCCUAUGGAAAUAGGUAACUUAAGCAGCAUGUUGGAUUUAGAACUUGACUAUAAUAAGUUAAGUGGAUUUAUUCCAAAAUCAAUAAGAGGACUGCGAAAACUCCAAGGUCUAGAUCUUUCCUCUAAUAAAUUAGAAGGGCCUAUCUCAGAGAGCCUUUGUGAUUUGGAGAGUUUAUACAAAUUGUUUUUAGGGUUGAAUAAGCUGCAUGGAUCUAUACCCUCUUGUCUAGGUAAUAUUUAUUCUUUGGGAUAUCUUUACUUAAAUUCCAACAAACUGAGUUCGGCAAUACCCUCAACUUUGUGGAAUCUUAAAGAUAUCUUAGAAAUAGAUUUAUCAUCAAACCAUCUUAUCAAUUCUUAUGCUAUUGAUGUUGGAAAUUUGAGGAGUCUAGGGAAACUAAAUUUAUCAAGGAAUCUUCUCAUGGGCGAUAUUUUAUCCACAUUUGGGGGUCUUCAAACUUUGGUUACAUUAGAUUUAUCAAAUAAUAAGCUAUAUGGUCAAUCCCCGAAUCAUUUGGUGGUUUAAUUAAUUUGGAAUCCUUGGAUUUAUGCAAGAACAAUCUCUCUGGAGUCAUUUCCAAAUCUUUGGAAAAGCUUUUACAUCUAAAGUAUUUUAAUGUGUCUUUCAAUAGACUUGAAGGGGAAAUUCCUACAGAAAGAAGUUUUUCAAACUUUUCUAGCACAUCAUUCAUGAAGAAUUAUGCACUUUGUGGUCCACCUAGAUUGCUAGUCCCACCUUGCAAAAACGACAUCCAUGAAAACUCCCAAAUGAUCAUAUUGCAUGCUUUAAGGUAUGGUUUACCAACAAUUGGUGUUGUCGUACUACUAAUAGUGCUAACUAUUAUGUAUAGAAGAUGCCAAAGUAGGAGUACAACCCUACCAAUUAAGGAUGAUUUGUUGUCUUUGAAAAGACUGAGACGAACUUCACAUGCUGAACUUUCACAAGCAACUAAUGGAUUUGAGGAAAGCAAUAUGCUUGGUUCAGGGAGUUUUGGAUAUGUAUAUAAAGGGAGGCUUUUAGAUGGAAUGGAAGUAGCAAUAAAAGUUUUCAAUUUGCAAACAGAAGGGGCAUUUAGGAGUUUUGACAUUGAAUGUGAUGCUAUGCGUAAUAUAGUUCAUCGUAAUAUUGUGAAGGUCAUUACUUGCUGCUCAAGUGUUAACUUCAAAGCCUUGGUGCUUGAUUACAUGUCUAAUGGAAAUCUUGAGAAAUGGUUACAUUCUAAAAACUAUUUCCUUGAUCUCAUACAAAGGGUUGAGAUAAUGAUUGAUGUUGCAUCAGCUAUAGAACAUCUCCACAAUGGACAUCCAACACCUAUAAUUCAUUGUGACUUAAAACCAAACAAUAUUUUACUAGAUGAAGACAUGGUUGCACAUGUGGGAGAUUUUGGCAUUGCCAAAUUGUUGGAAGAAGGUUACUUAAUGAAGCAUACCAUGACUCUUGCAACUAUUGGGUAUAUGGCACCAGGUGAAUUUUUUAUUUUUGUAUUAUUAUUUUUCUAAUUUGCAUUUUAUAAUUUUGUUUCAUGUGUAGGUGGAUAUAUAUAUUUGAAUAAUCACUUUAGAAAUAAUUAAGGAUUAACGAUACUCUAAUUAUACUUGAAAUGCAGAAUUUGGAUCAGCAGGAAUUGUUUCUGUAAAAUGUGACGUCUAUAGUUAUGGGAUUGUCCUUAUAGAAACUUUCACAAAGAAGAAGCCAACUGAUAAUUUUUUUGCUGAAGAAAGGACUAUAAGACAUUGGAUGGAAAGUUCAUUGCCUCAAAGAGCGAUAGAAAUCGCUGAUGUUGAUUUAUUAAAAAGAGAGGAUGAGUACUUUAUUGUUAAAGCAAAUUGUAUUUCAUCCAUCAUGGAGUUGGCUUUGAAUUGUUCAGCUGAAUUACCAGAAAAAAGAAAAGAUAUGAAAGAUGUUGUGGUUGAGCUAAAGAAAAUCAAACAAAGGUUGCUAAACAACAUCAAACAUGUUUAACAAAGAUGGUGAGUAAUUAGUACACUUGUGGUUAUUAAUUCACGCUUAAUUUUAUUAACAUUUUUAAUCUAUUCUAGCAGUUUAAUUAUAGAUAUCAAAUAUGUCGGUAUCGGUCUCUUUGAAGAUUGUCGUAUAAAUUGUGAAAAUUAAUACACUAAUUUUCUUUCUUUUGCUCAAUCAGUUGCUCUCUUCGGAAUUCAAACUUCUUUUGUAAAAUCAAGAUGGAAACCAAUAAAAUGAGUAGCAAGCCUUCCCAAGAAUUACGGUUUAUGGUAGCUUUGGGACAUCAAUUUAUUUUCUUUGUUAGAUUUGAUUUUCUUAGUUUCUUAUUUCAUUAUGGUAUAAUUUUGUUUUAAUAUUUUGCUAAGGGCUUUAUUGUCGGAUUUUUUUUUGUUUUUCUCUAAUUAAAUAUGUUAUUUUCUUUCAUUAAAAAAACCAUGUAUUUAAAUUUCAUUUAUUAUUUUGACAGACUCUUCAACAAAUGGUAUUAUUCUUGCGUUGGGGUUUUGUCUCUUGAUUCCGCAAAGAUCUCUAUGGGUUUAUGGAGAUGAUUGCAAGGUAAAUGUUACAUAUGCAUUAGUUGGUGGUUUGAAUCCUUUCGUAUGUGUUCUUCAUGAUUUUUCUGCAGAGGCUAGGAAUAAAAUCUCAAUAUGGGAACAAUACCUUUUGUUGUUGAGGGCAACAUUGAUUACAUGCAGAUAACAUUCAGAAGACUUCUCCUGAUGAGUUGAUCUCCCUCAACAAAAAAGUCAAAUACAAGGUCUGUUAUGGGUAAUCAUAGUUUAUCCAAGCAAUGACAUAUAAGUUUAAUUUGUUUUCAAGAGCUUUCUAAGUGUUUCUCUUCAUUUUCUUCUAGCUUGUUGAAUGAAGGGACAUGUCUAACACAUUGGUCUUAACUGAGCUAGCUUGCCUUGCCAGGUAAUUUGCUAAUUUCCACUUAUUUAGAGUUAUUUACGGUGUGUUCUAUUUAAUAUUAUCAUAAUUGAAGGUAUCAUUUAUAAUUUAAUCUAAUUGUGUUUUUGGCUAGUGGUCAUUGAUCAAGGAAACUAAAGGAAGCCAAUAAGAAGAAUUAAACUUCGCAUGCUUUACUAUCAUAUGCUACAAAACAAAAAGACUUUUUUUUUUCUACAUGAAAUUUGUAUUGGGCUAUCAAUGUUUCAUGGAUUAUGUUGUUUUUCUAAUUCAAGAGGUGAUUUUGCCAAUAUUGCAUGCAAAAUCAAUGUCUACAUAUAUACUACCAAGUACCAAGUAAUAUUUCCUAUGAUGGAAGUUCUGCUAAUGCGCAGCUUAAUCAACUCUAAUGCUCCUGUGGAUUUUAUUUGUCUUUAUAGUAUUUAGAGACUAUUUUAUGAAUGUCCAAUUGCCUUUGGGCCUUUCAAAAAAAGUUUAGCAAGCCUACAAGUCAUUUAAUUGCCUUUGGAUUUCCCAUGAAAUUUUUAUGUAUGAACUUACAAUAUAUGGCUUGAAUUGCAUAAUUAUAUUAUAUAUAAAUAUUAAUUUCCUACCUCUCCAUCAAAAUAACCAUUAACAUCAUCAAAAUCACUGGUUUGAUCGCAAUGUCUGGCAUUCAUCUAUUUGAUAACACAACUCUUAUAUCUCCUAUUAUUGGAGCAAAGCCAAAGGCCUCUUGGAUUGUCUAAACAUGUUUUUUCUUCUUUUGUAUUUUUUGUAACGAAUCGAUUUAUAGUAGUGUCAAAAAAGUGGUUUCAAAACUUCGUUUAUGUAAACUAAGUUUCUGAUACACAAUGUUUGAUGAAGAAAAGUGUAAUUUGUGAAUUUUGCCAACAUGGUAGUCAUCACAAAAAAGUACAUUCUUGAUUCUCAUGAAAAUAAUAUUAUUACAAGAGGAUAAUACCAUGUUUUAGACACCUUUAGCUGGAUGGUCGAGACAUCGAUGCCACAACUACUAUUCAGAAACACGAGUUUGAUCUUCAAGAUCGCUAGUGGGAGUAUAAUAAACUUAUUGAGUGAAUGCCAAAGGUAACGAAGACUUGCAAUCAGAAACAACUUUAUGAUAGCAUUCAUCGGUAAGAAUUGUAUACAAACCAUCUUUUUCAAGACCUCGAAGAAGAACUUCACUGAUAGUCUCAUCCUUAAUAAGGAAAUGAGUGGGAUAAAACACGAAAAACACCAAAUUAUCUCUAGCAAAUUUACUAACAAACAUUAAAUUCUUGGUGAUUUCAUAGACAUGAAAAAAUUAAUCCAAAAUAAGUUGUCGAGAAGUAGAUUUAAAGAAAAACUAACUAAUAUGUGAAAUAUUUUAUUCGAAAUUAACCCAUGUAUGCAACGAACAAGUGAAAAAAAAUAAUAUCGAAAAGAUCAAGCAUGCAAAUUUUACAUGGAAAAGCUCCUCAAAAGAAGAUAAAAAACCAUAGGCAAAAGGAGAUUUCACAAUAAUAAAGGAGAGUACAAAAGAUGGAGAAAGUUAAAGGAAAACUCGUAGCCCUGCAAGAAUAAACCUUUCAAAACAAAGAACAUAAUUCUCUCAAUCUAAAUAUUUUUUUAUUAGACAUAGAGUGACUAACGCAUAUUUAUAGGAUGAAAUUCAUAGCAUAUAUGACUACAACAAUCCUAGGUUAAUCAAAGAUUAAAUGGGAAACUAAAAAUAUGGUUUAACUGUGAGAAGAAAGCCAAAAAACUUGAGGUGCAUGUUGCCACAUCGUGAUAUGGCAUCAUGUUGUCAGGACAAAGGGUCAUCGUGUCAUCGAGAUGAAAGCUCUCUUCUCGUCGUGAAGUCAGCUAUUCAUUGGGAUGAAGAAGACAUUUGAUCUUUUGUUCUAUCAUCAAUGUGUUUUGUUCUAUCAUGAAACAUUUGAUCUUUUGUAAGAAAGAUGGCACUUUGACUGACACAAAAUACUGUGCUGAUUUGAAGGUCUUCAUUAAGUUCACUAAAGAGUCCCUUCAACCAAAUAGCUUCUUUACAAGCCUCAGUAAUCGCCAUGUACUCAACUUCGGUGGUAAACAAAGCGACUGUAGUUUGCAAAGUGGCUUUCCAACUGAUUGUACAACCUCUGAUUGUAAAGACAUAACCUGUGAAAGAUCUUUUUCUAUUAAGGUCUCUAGCAAAAUCAGUAUCAACAUACCCAAUGACCCCAUCUUCAGUUCUUCCAAACUGUAAGCAAACAUCAGUAGUACCUCGUAAGUAUCUUAAAAUCCACUGAACUGUUUUCCAGUGUUCUUUACCGGGAAUCACCAUAUAUCUGCUAAUUACACUGACUGCAUAUGAUAAAUCUGGACGUGAACAAACCGUAGCAUACAUGAGAGAUCCCAUUGCACUAGAGUAUGGAACAUGUGACAUGUACUCAAUCUCAUCAUCUUGCUGUGGAGACAAAGCUGAUGAAAGUCUGAAAUGGGCUGCUAAAGGAGUACUAACAGGCUUAGCACUCUGCAUAUUGAACCUACAAAGAACUUUCUCAAUGUACCCCUUUUGACUUAGGUACAAUUUACUUGUUUUCUAUCUCUGAGAAUCUUCAUACCAAGUAUCUUCUUUUCUAGUCCUAAAUCUUUCAUCUCAAAUUCUUCACUUAGUUGGGCCUUGACCUUUCUUAUCUCUCAUUUAUCUUUUGCUUCUAUCAACAUGUCAUCAACAUAAAAAAGUAGAUACACAAAAGAACCACUACUAUUUUUCUUAAAGUAAACACAGCUAUCAAAACUACUUCUUUUGAAAUCAUGAGAAGUCAUAAAGGAAUCAAACCUCUUGUACCACUAUCUUAGUGACUAUUUCAAACCGUAAAGGGACUUUUUCAGCAAGCAAACAUAGUCCUCUUUUUUUAAGACUGUAAAACCCUCUGGCUGUUGCAUGUAAAUGUCCUCCUCAAGUUCUCCAUGCAAAAAUGCAGUUUUUACAUCUAACUGCCUAAGCUCCAAAUCAUGAUGGCCAUAAUACCAAGCAAAGCUCGAAUCAAACUAUGCUUCACAACUGGGGUGACCACAUAUGUGAAGUCUACUCCUAGAAUUUAACUAUAACCUUUUGCAACAAGCCUUGCUUUAUAUUUGGGUUCUUCAACUCCUGGAGUCCCUUCUUUCUUUUUAAAUACCCAUUUACAAUAAACAAACUUUUUACCUUUAAGAAGUUUUACAAGAUCACAUGUUCUAUUUUUGUGAAGUGAUUCCAUCUCCUCUUGCAUAGCAAACAUCCACUUUUCUGGGUCUUCACAGCUAAUUGCCUCAGAAUAAUUAGAUGGCUCUCGGUUUACAUCUAUAUCUUCAGCCACAUUUAAAGCAUAAGCAACUAGAUCAGCCUUAGCAUACUUAUUUGGAGGUUUAAUUUCUCUUCUAGUUCUGUUUUUGGCGAUAGAGUAUUGCGGAGAAGAAGCAACUCUAUUCUCAAUUUUUAUACUGGCUUGAGGAGUCAACUCUAUAUUAAUCUGAUGCUCCACCUACUUUUGAUUUUCUUUAUUGGAAGAAUCUUUAAGAGAUAAGUUAGGUUGCAUAGUAGUUUCAUCAAAAACAACAUCUCUGCUAAUCACAAAUUUUCUAUUUUCAGGACACCAUAACUUAUACCCUUUUACACCAACUUUAUAACCAAGAAAAACACAUUUACUGGAUCUUGGUUCCAAUUUUCCAUUAUCAACAUGAGCAUACGCAGGACACCCAAAGAUAUUUAAAUCAGAAUAAUUAGCAGGAUUACCAGACCAUACCUAUUGUGGAGUCUUUUUCUCAAUGGCAACGGAUGGAGAUCGAUUGAUCAAAAAACAUGCAGGAGAGGCUACUUCUGCCCAAAGUGACUUCGGUAAGUUGGCAUUUGACAACAUGCAUCGAACCUUUUCCAUGAUCGUUCUGUUCAUUUGUCCUGCAACACUAUUUUGCUGUGCAGUAUGACGAACUAUCAAGUGUCUCGUGAUCCCUUCUGACUUGCACAAUCUAUUAAACUCAUCAGAAUAGAACUCUAAGUCAUUAUCUGUGCGGAGGUAUUUUAUUUGUUUUCUUGUUUAUUUUUCAAUCAUAAUUUUCCAAGACUUAAAUGAGGAAAACACAUCGCUUUUCUACUUCAGGAAGAAUGCCCAAACUAUUUUGGAAAAAUCAUCAAUAAAGGUUAGCAUAUAAUUAGCUCCACCUCUCGAAGGCACUCUAGAUGGCCUCCAUAGAUCAGAAUAAAUAUAGUCCAACGUUCCCUUCGUGUUAUGGAUUCCUCUGGUGAAUUGAACUCUCUUUUGCUUCCCAAAAACACAAUACUCAAGAUUUAGUUUGCAAAUUCCUUGCUUAUCAAGAAGUCCUCUUUUGCUCAAUUCUACCAUGCCAUUCUCACUCAUAUGCCCUAGGCGCAUAUGCCAAAGUUUAGUAAUAUCAUCAUCUAACAAGGAAGAGGAAGUGAUAGCUGCAUCACCAGAAACAGUAGAACCCUACAAAACAUAUAACAUGGCAGUCUUUCUUUGCCCUUUCAUCACAACAAGGGAACCUUUGGAAAUCUUUAAAACCCCACUUUCAGCUGUGUAUCUGUACCCUUUUGAAUCAAGAGUACUCAACGAAAUUAAAUUUCUCUUCAAUUCUAGAACAUGUCGCACAUCACUAAGUGUUCUGACAACUCCAUCAAACAUCUUAACUUUAAUUGUUCCAACACCUGCGAUUUUACACGAAGUAUUAUUUCCCAUCAAAACAACACCUUUAGACACUAUUUCGUAAGUUGUAAACCAAUCUCGAUUGGGACUCAUGUGGAAGAUGUAGCCUGAAUCAAGUAUCCACUCUUCGCUUACUUUAAAAUCAUUGACAGAAGUGACUAGAAGUUCAUCAUCGCUGUAGUCUUCUACAACAUCAGCUUCACCAGAAUUUUCUGGUUGUUUUCCCUUUUGAUUCGCAGCCUCCCUUUUAAUCUUGUUUUGUAACUUAUAGCACUCAGAUUUAAUGUGUCCUUUCUUCUUGCAGAAGUGACAAGUUUUACCUCUGUUUGAAGACUUUGAUCUACCCCUAGAUUUACCGCGAGGAUUUCGUUCCUGUGUCCUUUACAAUCAUUAUCAGCAUUUCGAUGUCUCCCACGAGUAAUGAGACUCUCUCCCUGAGAGUCAGGUUUAACCACAAGAUGUUUCGCCUUAUCAUACAAGGUCAAAGAAUCAUAAACCUCAUCAACUAUGAGAGACUCGUGGCUAUAUAAAAUCGUGUCUCUAAAGGUUGAAUAAGACGGGGGCAACGAACAAAGUAGAAUCAACCUUAGAUCUUCCUUAUCAUACUGAACCUCCAUGGCCUCCAAGUUUGAGAGAAUUUUUUUAAACACUGUUAAGUGUUUGUGUACAGAUGCACCUUCCUUCAAAUGAUGAGCAUAAAGAUACUGCUUCAUAUGCAACUUGCUUGUUAGAGUUUUCGACAUACAUAUUUGUUCUAGCCUCUUCCAUAAUGUAGCGACAGUCUUCUCUUUCAUCACAUCCUGUAAAAUUUCGUUGGAUAAAUGCAGAUAUAAUUGUGUUAACGUCUUUCUAUCCUUACGCUUCUUCUUUCAUCUAUUAAAGUCGAAGACAUCUUAUCUAUCCCUAGCAAGGCAUCCUCCAGAUCCAUCUGCGCAAGAACUGCUUGCUUCUUAAUCUGCCACAACGCAAAUCUGGUGUUGCGAUCCAACAGCGAAAUUUCAUACUUUAAAGAUGCCAUUACCGUGAUCGAGAUGAACAACUCGAAAGCUCUGAUACCAAUUUGUGAAAAUAAAAAUAAAAUAAAAAUAAAGAACACAGAUUUUUUACGUGGCCCUUUCGGGAAAAGACCACGGGCAGAGGAGAAGAAAAUUCACUAUGUCGAAUUCAAAUAAUUACAAGAGGAAUAGACUAUGUCUAUUUAUAGGCUUGUAAAGUCAUAUUCUAGUAAGACUGAAACACCUUAUUCUAAUCAAUAUCAAAUAGAUAGAAUUUAAUAAGGUUUAAAAAACCUUAUUCUAAAAUAAAAUAAAAGAAGUGUAAUUCUAUAUAGAUUCUUCUUUUAUUUUAUUUUACCACUGUAUUUUAUUUAAAUAAGGAUUCGGAUCACUUAAUUCUAACAAAAAUAAACAUAGGAGAAAUUAACUAAAGCUUUAAGGCAUGUAUUAGUGCCACUUUCUUUAAGGUUCUAUUCUCCUCCACCUAUAUCAUGGUGUGCAAAAGAAUUAUUGGAAAAUGAACCUCGAGGAUACAAUGAAGCCCAAUGGUUGUCUAUGUUUUGCACUGAUGGAAAUAGGCCACUAAGCAUUAAGCGGAGCAUACCAAAUAUAUUAAUUUCUAUAAAGAAUUUCUGCAGUAAUUCUUUAUAGAACAAUCUAAAAAUAUAAAAAAUGGUGGGAGAUUAGAAAGAAACUUUUUUUAUAUUUUUAAACUUUCAUGCAAAUGAAACUUCACACCUAUUUAUAGGAGGUCUCAUGUCUCUUCAUAGGGACAUAACUACCCAAAUGGAUAGUCAUAUCUUUAGGAAUAAACAUAAUUAUUCAAUAGAUAUCUACUUGAAUAAUGACUAUUUGUUAAUAUCAAAUAACAUAACUUUUGUUACUUGUAAUUUUUCAUUUGUAAUUAUUAAAAAACUAUAUAUGUUUAUUAAUAACCAAAUAACAUAAAUAUAACACAUCAGAUCAUAAACUACUCAAUACCUUCUCAAUUGCAAUUAAGGUUUGAUUUUCAUUUUAUUAUAUACUCUUUUUUGUCUCUUAAUUAUUUCUAGAACCUUUAAAUCUCGUAACGCGCAUUUUAUUUUUUAAUGGCAUAUCUUACAUAUUGCCUACUUAAGGUAUUUCAUAAGACAUAACAUUACAGUAUUUUUAAAUUUCCUUCAAUAUUAGUUACAUAAUUCCUAUAAAUAUAAUAGUAUUUUCUAUUUCCAAAAUGGUCUUAUUUUUCUCAGAUCAUCUCUCUUACCCGCGACAGCAUUAAUCCUCAUUUUCUCCACGUUUGUCUUUUCCUAAAAUUUGUACAAUCAUUGCGCAACUCUCAAUUGAAUUCUGAAUUAACGAGCUUUACUCCCAAAUAAAUAAAUAAAUAAAAACAAAUAAAUUUCGUUUCGAAAAGCAUUUAAGUUGGGACAAAAAGAAUCUGUUUAUUUUCUUCUUUCAAGGAAAAUCUAUUUAUUUUCUAUUUUAUGGUCUUCCUAAAAAGAACGUUAAUAUAUAUUUCAUAAUUUAAAUUAUACAACUGAACAACAUAUAAAUAUAAGUUAUGUUUGAAAACAAAAAAGAAGUUCAUAAAGAAUUUUUUUCUAAAAAAGAAAAAAAAAAGACACACUAUAUUUUAAUAAAAGAAGUUAAUAUUGUAAAUCACCAUAAGCUCAUUGUUUGAAGGACUACUAGACUUUAAGGAUGCAGAUUUAUUAUUAAAGCAAAUUGUAUUUCAUCAAUUAUGGAAUUACCUCAAAAAAGAAAAGAUAGGAAGAAUGUUGUGGUUGAGUUCAAGAACAUGUUAAAUAAAUAAGGUUAGUAAUAAGUUGAUUAUUAAUUAUGUCUUUUGAAACUAGACUAUGAAAAUAAUUAAAUUCAACUUCUUUGUUUACACUCUUGCGCGCAGUUUGCAUUUCUCCUAAGUGUCAAUUUGAUUGGAAAAAGAUUAAUAGAUAAAAAGUCGGUCAAUAGCUUAACCAAAAAAGAUUAAUUUUUCAAAAAAGAUAAUUUCACUUAAGCUAUUGAUCGAGUUUUUGAAACAGUUUAUAAUUUAAAAAGAAUAAAAGAAAAUUAUGUGAUCCUAAACGCAAUUGAAUUAAAUGUGAUUAAAAAAUGUCCAAGUUUUUUUCCCUCAAUUAAGAGGCAAUUAAGUGGGUUCAAAAGUUGAUUACGCAUAUGGAAACUUAUAAAAUUCUCACAACGCUCAAAAUUAGUACUUUAUUAAUUACUUCGUUGUCAAAAAAAUUCAAAAUAUAAAAAUGAGAAAUCAAGCGAUAUUGUUACAAGGAAUCACGCGACUGUAAUAGGCCAAUUUUGGCCUGGGCCAGAUAAAAAAUAAAACACAAAAUAAACCAAAAUAAAUAUAAAGUCCAAAUUUUUUUUAACAGUCCAUUUACAGACCCUAGCCCAAUCCAAACCCAAAUAAAACUAUACCCAAACCCCAAACAACCCAACUAAACACUAAGCCCAAAAGGGCCCAAAACCUAAACAACAUUUUCAGCAAACCCUAAUCCCUAACAGCCUCCACCGCCGCACGCCACUCCCCUUCGUACCGCCACGUCAGCACACUACCUACGGCCUCCGUACCUAUAGAAAGGACAAACAUACAAUAGCAAAGAGGCAAUAGCAAACAAAAAAUGUUGUAUUUCCUUCGGCUAUAAAAGCCCUCAAAUCAUCAAUGUAUUUUUUUUUUACAGAGACUAUCAAAUACAAAAAAUCAAAUAUAAAAAGAGAAAUCAGAAACAAAUUUUGUAAAAAGGUGGUCCUUUUGUUUUAUAUUUGCUUAUUUUUCUUCUUUUCUACUGAUAAUUCUACUAGUUUUUUUUUAAAGAAAAACGAAAAAGAAAGGAAUCAAAUCUUACCUUUCUUGUGUGGAUGUCGCCGUGAAGGGAGCUUAGGUCGCCAUCUCUGAUGAAAGAUGGCAUUUUUGGGUCAGCAAAGUCAAAAAACCCAAAAAAAAUAGACUUUUUGUCUUCCAGCCACUGCAGACGGCAGCGCCGUCAUCGGCGAUCGGCGGCCGCCACUGUGGCCGAUGGUCGGAGCUCCUACUGAAAAUCGGAGGGGAACGGAGAGUUGAGAGCAUUUCAUUUCUUUUUUGAAACAGGGUUGGAAUGAAUUUUUUUGAGAAAUUUUAGGCUUAAAUAGAACAUCAAAAUGACGCCGUUUUGGGAUAGCUUAAAACGCUCCAAAACGACAUCGUUUUGAGCCUUACCCACGCACUAACCCGACCCGUCCAGAGGAUCCGUGUGUUUUUUAUUAAUGGGCUAUUUUCCAAUUUAAUCCUUCCGCCUUUUAUCCUCUUGCAAUCAAGUCUUUUUGAAUCUUUAAUUUUGGCCCUAUAAUUUAUUUCAGUUUUCAAUUAAGCUUGCCUUGAAGCUGCGUGUUUUGGAGGGGGGAUUAUUUCCCGUUUUGGUCCGUCCUUGUUAUUCGUGCAUUCAAUCUGGUCUUUUUCUUUUCUUUUAUUUUCAAAUUCACCCCAAUUUUUGUUUUUAAAAUUCAAUUUAGUCCUUUCUUUGUGAUUCUUGAUUAUUUUAUUAUCAAAUUAAUUAGUUUAUUAUUAUUAUUAUUAUUAUUAUUAUUAUUAUACUUUCUCUUUUUGUAUUUAUUUAUUUGUUUUGUUAUUAUAUUAUUAAAUUAAUGUCUUGUAAUAUUAUUGCUAUUAUUUUUUAUAUAUAUUUGUUUACCUAAAAUCUUAUGUAUAUCUUAUUUAUCAUCUAUCUACUUAUAUACUUUGAUAUAAUUUUAAAACUACUUUGUUUUUUCUUUAAAUUUAGUCCUUCGUUUGGCUAAUUUUAUUAUUUAUGUGUUAUUUAUUUAUUAUCCUUUAUUUUUUUAAUAACUAAAUUUAACACUAUUUCUAUUUGUUACAUUUAUUUAUUUUGUUCAUUAUACUUUUACCUUUUAAAUAUUUACUCCAAUAUGGUUUGUAUUUAUUUAUUUAUCUUUCCUUUAAUUUUUUUGCUUAAAUUUAACAUUACUAAAUUUAUUUUAUCUAUUUAUUUAGCCAUUUAUUCAUUAUUUCUUCUUUUUAUUAUUUUUAUAUAUUUAAGUUUUUACUAUCUAUUUUCAUUUUAUUUGUAUAUUUCUAUUUCAUUUUUCCUCUUUUAUUUUGCAAUAUGAGUUUUAAACUUGUGAGUUUCAAUUUAAUUCGUAUUUUGAUUAAUUUUGCUUAUUUAUUUACUAUAUUUUUAUUUAUAUAUUGUAGCGACGUAAAAAUUUUGGUUUGGUCGCUAAUUAAGGCGAUUUAUUGAAAAUUUAAAAACCGACUUUUGAUUUUAUUAAAAAGAGAGUCGCCACCGAUCUUUUUUCUCAGGUGUGAUCGGACACCUAAUGAAUCCUCUUUUUCAAAGAAAAAUUUAUUUUUGGGAUAACAAAAAGGCCGAGUUUAGGUCUAUGCGAAAAUCCAGAGAAAAAUAGGGUUCGGGAGUCGGUUACGCACAAGGAAGGUAUUAGCACCCUCGCGAUGCCCAAAAUUGGUAUCUUUAAACAAGUGUUGUCUUAAUUUUCAAAAUUGCAAGUUCAAAGUAACAUUUAAUCGUGAUCCGAUCAAAACACGAGAAAUUUCAAGUUUCGUUUUCUUUUGAGAAGGACAUACAGUUUUAACACAAAUCGAUUGAUAUUCACCCAACAUAGCGAUGAAAUAGAUGACUUAAUGUUAAAUCGACACGUUGCCUUAUUUAUUGAAAUUAAAAAUUAUGAGUAAAACAUUAUUUAAAAUAAGAAUUCGUAAAUAAUACAAAACAACGAUGCAAUUAAUAAUGAAAUAUUAAAACUGAGAAUAUUAAAACAACAAUAUUAAUAUUUACAAAAAGUAGAAAUGAUGUACUACCAAUAUAAUAAGAAAAAUAAUAUAUUCAUAAUGACAAUAGAAGAUAACAAUAUAUACAUAAAAUAUACAUAUACAUAUAUAUAUACAUGACAUACAAAAUGAACAUAUACAACAUAUAUAACAGACAUAUACUAAUAAUAAUAGUAAAAAUAGUAACAAUAAAAAGGUAUAUGUACACCAAAUAACAUAUAAUAAUAUUAAGAUCAUAAGUGACAAUGUGGAAAAUAACAAGUAUAUUAAUGAGUAUAAUAACAUAUGAAAAUAAUACUAUAUAUAAAAAUAAAUAUAUGUACAAAUAUUAAUAAUAAAUAUAAUAGGAAUAAAAUAAAUGUAAUAAUAAUAUAUACAUGGGAAUAGUAUAUAACAUAUAGCUAAGAAUAUUGAAAAUAUAUACAUAAGAUGACAUAAAAUUUAAAUAACAAUAUUGAAAUAUAUAUAUACAUAACAUAGAAUAAAAAUAUAUAUAUGUAGCACACGUUAAAAGAAUACAUAUAAGAUACAUAUAUUUCAAAAAGAUAAUAAUAAUAUUUAAAGAAUAACUAUUAAUAUGUUACAUAAAGUAUGUAUAUAUAUAAAUAAUAAUGGUGUUAGGAAUAUACUAUAAUAGUAUAAGGAUACAUAACUAAUAAUAUUAAUGCAUGUACAUAAUAAUAUAUAAAAGUAUGGUAUUAAAAGCGUAUAUACAUGAUAGUAUGAAAAAUAUAUAUAUACAUAUAUAUAAUAUAGUGGUAAAAUACUUACGUAAUAUAUACAUAACAUAAAUACUAAUAAUGUUAAAAAACAACUUAUUAAUAAUAUUAUAUAAAUAUAUUAUAAUAUAGGAAACUAUGUACGUAAUAUAUAUAUUAGAAAUAGUAAUAGUAACUAUAGUAAUAAUAUAAUAAUAAAUAAUAAAAGGAAUAAAAAUAACAACAAUAAAAAUGAUAAUCAUGAGAAUAAUAUAAAUAAUAUUAAAAAUAAAUAAAAUAGCAAGGAUAAUUUGAAAAUAAACUUAAAUAAAAAAAGGACUAAAAUUGAAACAAAAACGAAGUUCUGGGGCGAUUUUAAAAUAAAAAAAGGGCUAAUUUGAACACGCGUGAAACAGUAGGGGGCCAAAAAAGCAAUUUUCCCAAGCUUUUAAAACGAUGCGCUUGGCCAGGGACUAAAUUGAAAAGCGCAAAAAAGUUCAGGGCCAAUUUAUAAAUAAAUAUAAACCUGAUUUAAAACAUCAAAAAUGCGGAAGGACCGAUUGCGCAAAUAGCGCCUAAGAGCAAAAACGCUAGGAUCCUGGUCCGAAGCGGGUCGGAUCGGGUCGGGCUAUGGCAAAACGACGUCAUUUUGGGGCUAAAGGGCAGCCUCCAAAACGACGUCGUUUUGGGAGGCUAUAUAAGGGCCAAAAUUUUUUAAAAUUCUCAUUUGCUGCAACAAAAAGGAAAAAAAAAGGGAAAGAGGAGAGGGGAGAGGAGAGCUGGGGCGAUUUUCGGCCAUGGGCCGGUCACCGAUCCGAUCGCCGGACCGUCGCCGGCGCCGAAGCUGGCCACUGUGCACGGUGGCCGAAAAAGGUAAAAUUUUUUUAUUUUUUUAUAUUUUUUAUAUGCUUUAGUAUAUAUAUAUGUGGAAAAUAGGCCUAAAAAAACCGAAACUAAAAUUAAAAAAAUCACCUUAGGUUUCUAGCUUUUGGUUUUUGAUAUCUUUGAUUCUCUGAUCUUGGUGGUGCUUGAAAUAUUGUUUUUGUAUUCUUAUUUCUGUAUAUUUUUGAACCGCCCUGAGAGCUUUUUUUACAAGUUUCAUUCGGGUUUUAUACCCUUUUUACAUACUGCUUUCUUUUAUUUUCACUGUCUUUUCUUGCUUACAGGUGCAACUUGCUGAUGGAGACAGUGGCGGUGGACGUGACCUUGGGCGGUGGCCGCAACGAUGUCAGGGGCAGGUGGGGGUUAGGUCGGCGGCUGGCUUUGGCAGAGGCAAGUGGGGAGAGGGUGGCUAGGGUUUCAGCUUUUCUGAAACCCUAGUUUGACUAAUGGGGUACUUGGGCUUGGGCUAGGUCAUUAAGUUUAGUUGGGUUUAUGGGUAUUGGGUUUCUGAUUUGGGUUUUGACUGUAUUAGGUUGAUUAGUGUUGGGCUGAGGGUUAAUUUGUAUGGGUAGUUGGGUUAGUUGUUUAGUUUGGUUUGGUUUAAUUUUGUUUGGGUUUGGAUGUAAACGGGCCCGGGCAAUUUGAGCUUCUACAUAUAUUUUAUUACAAAUUAUAUCUUUAAUUUCAUUUUACAACUUGAUUUUUUAUUUUCGAUAUUUUACAAAUUAUCUUCCCUUAUAUUUAUUUAUGUAUUUGUUUCUUUGUCUCCAUUAUUUGAUUGGCAUUGUUCUUUAUAUGUGUGUGUUGUUGCUAUUAUCAUUCUCAUUAUUUAUUUUAUUUAUCAUUUGAUGGUGCUUGUUAAUGUUAAAAUAGUGUACAUUAUACGAUUCUUAUACGUUGUUUUAUUAACAUAUUCAUUAUUGUCCUUUGCUAAUAUGACAUUAUAUAUUUUUACCCAAACUUGUAAAAAAUAAAAUUUUGAAAACCGGCAGUCUUGUGCAUUUAGGAAAUUCGAGAAAUCGUACCCUAACUUACGGGUCUCGAUUUUCUCGUUAAAUCUAAAUAGCCGAAUAGCCCUUAAAAUUUCAAAAUACAUGAAUUUUAAAAAAAAAUAAAAGUAAUAUUCCAUAUUUAGAAACUCGAGAAAGUCGUGCCCUAACUUAUGGGGUCUCGAUUCUUUCUCAUUGGAUCUAAAUAAUCGAAUAUCCUUCUAAAUUAAAACACAUGAGAUUUCAAAAAUAAAAAUAAAGACAAGUUUGUUCUCAAAGGUUCAAAGUGUCGUGUCCUAACUUACGGGAUGUAGCAUUUUGCUACCUCAAGACGAGAGGGUCUUUAACAUUCGUUUCGAUUUAUCCAAGCAACUUUUUCUGUAAAAUUAACAUUAACAAAAAAAGGAUUGUAAUGCAAUUUCUUUCAAGUUUUCAAAUAUUCGACAUUAAGACGUUAAUUAAUUAGGUACCAAUUUUGGGCGUUACGAGGGUGCUAAUCAUUCCUCGCACGUAACCGACUCCCGAACCCAUUUUUCUCAAAUUUCAUAGACCAAAAUCGUUGUUUUAGUAAAUCUAAAAUAUUUUAUUAAAACAUUUAAAUUACGAGGUGAUCUGAUCACACCUCAUAAAAAAAGGGAUUGGUGGUGACUCCCAUUUUUCGUUUUUUUAAAACGUUUUUUUAAAAGUCGGCCUUUUCAAAAAAAAUAGUUUCGACAGCGACAAUACAAAAAAACGACAAUGUUCGAAAUAGAGGCAAAGCAUAGGCGACACUGCAAAGAGGAGUCUAGAACAUCGCAACGAUGCUACAAAUUCUAACUAAAACCAACCACAUAAUUAGAAUCUCAACAAGGAUAUUUUUCCCAGUUUAACUCUGAUCAUACCAGAAAUAUUUUAGUAUGAUUAAACAUCUAACCUUAGCCUAUAAAAAGGGCCUAAGUAACCUUAGAAUAUAACAACAUACCAGGGUUUACGGUUUUUUUUAAUAUCCCCAUCUUGUAUUUUUCGAUUAUUUGCUCCUUAGUUAAGUAUUUUUUACCCGUGGUUUAUUAUCCUCUUGAUUGGAAAAAAUUUUUCAUGUAAAUUUGUGUGUCCAAUUUUCUUUAUUCUUUCUUGUUAGUUGUUGACACGAGUCUAUUCCCAACAAAUCAUGCUAGUUGGACGAAUCCACUCAAAGCAAACUAAUGACUAAUUAUAGAAAAUUCAGUCUAUGUUAAAGUGACAUAUAACUCCAAAGACCCGUCUUAAAUGCAAUGUGAUCUAGAAAUGUUCAACCUCUUAUCUCACAAAUCACUCGUGAUGGAAAAUUGUGGAAAAUGUUCUCAAUAACUAAAGUAUAACCUUCAAGAUACGUUUGUGUAAAAAUUUAAAUAUUUGUCUCAUUCAAAAAGAUCUUAAAUGCAAUUAAUUGUGAUUGGGAAAUCGUGUCAAGAUGUUGGAAAAUUGGUGAGAAAAUUCUACACCCAUGAAAAGUAAUUUCAUAGUGGUUGAGAAAUAAAUAUGGAAUCUUUACUUUUCUUUCAUUAUAUUUUAUAGGAAAUAUAGCAAAUGACAUUAAAAAAGUCCGCAAAGAUGAAAAACACAGAAAACUAUAAAUAAAAUGGCUAGUCUAGAUUAAUAAAAUUUAUAUUUUACUAACAGUGCAAUUUUAAAAUUUCAUAAAAGUUAAAAUUUUCUCACAAUUUUGAAAGAAAAUAUUAAACGUAACAACACAAAUGCAAAUUCAUAGUCUUUCUUUUCUAUUUUUUGCCAUAUAUCAACGUUUACUUUUAUGGACAAUGAAAUUUCGUCAACAAAAAUACGUUUAUAUUAAUGAACAAUUUAUCUGUCACUAUAUGCCAAACUUAUACCGGCAUUUGAAACCUAUACUAUUAGCCUAUUGGCCAAUAUCAACUCUCUUUUAAGCAUCAUGUUUGAUAUUUACAUGAUGUAUUUAACAAGUAUUUGGACAUAAACAUUACGAAACUUCUUUAAAUAUAUAAUUUUUUUUAAAAAAAAUCAUAUAAACAUAUCUAAUAUUUAUUUUUUUUUUGCGAAAUAAAUGAGGUUAUAAUUUUUGCGAAAUAUGAUGGAGAAGUAAAGAAGAGUAACACUUCCCAAAUGUGAGGGAUUAAUGGUUUAUUGUGAAGUAGAAUUGCAAUCUUAAUACAUAAAAAGAGAAAGAGAACUUGAUCAGCAUCAAGGUUGAAAUAAAAACAAACAUUGUUGAUUUGUGAAGAAGAAAUGCAAUCGCAUUAAAUUGGAAAAAAAAAUAGUUUACAUUUUUUUUUGGAAUUUAAGCCAUUUUUUAUAUAUUUUUAAAACUUUUAUCAUAAUUUUUUUAUUUUUGCAUAAUUACUAAUUUUAAUUUUUUUAUAAUUUCAUAAAGUAAAUUAUGAACUUUUUGAUUUCUUUAAGAAUUUUUUUUUUUGUUUUGAAUUAUCAUUAACAAAUUUUUUAAGGUAUCAAAUUAAUAAUUUAACAUAGUUCAAAUUAAAUAUUAGCCUUUGAAUUAAUAUGUCAUAUCAUUAUUUUGUUAAACGUUUAACUAUAGUUAAUAAAUGAGUGACAAAAAGAUAAAGUUUCUAUAACAUGAAUAACUUUUUUUUUUUUGGUGAAAAAACAUGAAUAACCAUUUUAUUAGUAUCCAUAAUGUAGUUUAGAUUAAAUGAAUCCAACUAACUGUUGUUAAAAAUUGAUUUGUUUGGUAAAUGAAUUUUAAAAUUGUGUCUAACUCAUUUAAUUUGAUAAACUAAUAAAAACCUCAAAAUAUUUUUUUAGUAGUAAACUCAAAUAUAUUAAAGGGUUGUUUGAUGGGCACUCAUUAGGCACCAGUUAAGAACUAUUUAAUUAUUAAUUCAACAGAAAAAAUAACUUGAAUGCUCAAGUGAAAAUAAUAUAUUAAUAAAUCGUGGAUAGGGCUAUCUGCAAUGAAGUUUGGAUUUCUAUUUUUCCUAACAAUUUGUAUCAGAGACCUCUUCUUCUCUCGCCAAAACCCGAAGUUAGCUAUUCCAAAGGACGUCCGUUAAGGUUUCUGGCGGGAUGGAUUGAGCAUCCAAAUUUCUCUGAUUUUGUUAAGGAAAAUUUGGUUUAUAAUGGUCAUAUGGAGGACUCUAUCAAUAACUUUACUUCUCAUAUCAGAACUUGGAACAGUGAUGUAUGGAGGACUCUAUCAAUAACUUUACUUCUCAUAUCAGAACUUGGAACAGUGAUGUAUAUGGGCAUAUUGGUACUAGGAAGAAAUUGCUGACGCAUAGACUCACGAGUAUUCAGAGGGAUUUGGAUAGGGUGUAGUCUAAUCAUCUUAUGCAAUUAGAAAUGGGGGUGGGCGAAGAAUUGGAAAAUGUCUUUCACCAUGAAUAGCUUAUUUGGAAACAAAAGGCGAGAUGUGAUUGGUUGCAUUUGGGUGAUCGUAAUACCACGUUCUUUCGUAGACGCACUUUAAAAAGAAGGAAGACUAAUAAGAUUAAUGCUUUGAAAAAUGAUAAGGGCAAGUGGAUCUAUGAGGAAGAGGAGCUCAAAUAUGAGGCAAACACCUUUUUUCAGAAUCUUUAUGGUGAGCAACCUAGUCCGAUGAAAGGUCUCCCCUUAAGUGCCUUCCCUAAGCUUGAGGAUUUAGAGAUUUAGUUCUUGAGACAUCCGGUUUUAGAUGAGGAAAUUAAGAGGGCAAUGUUUGAUAUGGCUCCCCUGAAAGCUCUUUGUAGUGAUAACUUUCAUGCCCUUUCUUUUCCAAAACCAAUGGGAGCAAAUAGGGGGCUUUGUGUGCAAAUAGGUUAAGGGGAUAUUUGUUGGGAAUCCUAUUGGUCCAAAUUUAAAUAAUACUUUAAUCAUUCUUAUACCCAAGGUCAAAAUUCCUAAAAAUUUUGUUCAAAUUCAGACCUAUCAGCUUGUGUUUGGUUCUCUACAAGUUGGUUAUGAAAACCAUAGCUAAUUGAUUCAAAGUGGUAUUCCCAAAGAUAAUUGCUCAGGAGAAAAAGGGCUUUAUAGCUGGUAGAAAUAGCAUGAAAGACAUCAUCAUGUAACACCCCGGAUUUUGGGGUUAGAAGUUUUGACGUAUGUGUUUAGGGUCAGUAUAUAGCUCGACCAAUUAUGUGUAUUUUUGCAUUGUUAUGUCAGAACGAGCCUACUUGUCUAGUGGUUGGUUGUGUGUUAGUUUACCUUAGGGUUCUAGGUUCAAAUCCUCAUGGGUGUUUUGAGGAAUUAUUUUUGUAUCUUUAAAUUUGUUUUAAGUCUAAAAUAUUUAUUCAUUUUAUUUUUAUUUUUAUUGGAACAUCCAACAGUUUUUUUAAGUUUUUUUUCCUUUUCUUCUUAUCAUUUGUCCCUACAUGUUCUUCCCCUCUUUUCCACUUUGUUCCCUAUGACCUUUUCAAUUUCUUUUUCUUUUCUUUUGCUUCUCCUAUUUUAUCAUCUGUCAAGGGAGCUUUGCCCUCGAGUAUUCGUUUAAUCGUAAGAGAAGAAGGUAGAUUUUGUUGUUUUGGGGGUUUAUUGAUAAUAUCCCUUCAUUUUCUGUUUUGUUAUUGAAUAGAAGUGUCUCAUUGAUGGGUUUGUUUUAUUGAGGAUUUUGAAUGGUUUGGUGGAGCGAAUCGAAUGGUCCUUGGUGCUAAGAAUUAUGAUUUAAGGUGCGUGUUCAGAGACCCUUUCUUUUUGUAUCAAAUUGUUGACUUGCUUGUGUGAAAUUCUACAUAGUUGUGUGUUUUUGAAAGUGAUCAAUCGAAGGGUCAAUUACCAUGAAACGGUUUGAAAUUGGGUGCGUUUUGGUGUGGUUCUUAAUUACUAAGGGUUGGGAAGCAGUUUCGGCAAUGAACGCAUGCCGGUUCACACGGCCGUGUGGAAUAGAGGAUUAGGGUUUCCAGGAAAAUUUUGUUGCCACACGGUCGUGUAGCUGAUUUGGGGAUUUAGUCGACUUCCACACAACCGUGUCCCGUGGGCACACGGGCGUGUGCACUUGGUAAUUAGGGUUUAGGUGAUUUGGUGUCACACGACCUAGCCAUACAGUCGUCUGGCUAAUUUUAGAGAUUUAGGGAUUUAAUCAAUUUUCCACGCGGACGUGCGUUCUAGACACAUGUUCGUGUCUGCCCUAACCUUAUUUUAGCACAAAUGGACAGAGAGUUACAUGUUCUGUUCACACGGCCAUGUCUUGGGGUCACACGGGUGUGUGCCUUAGCCACACGGUUGUAUGCCUCAGCUACACGGUUGUGUGCCUCCUUUCACACGGGUAUGUGUCCCCCCACAUGGGUGUGUUGACUCUCACAUGGCCUAAGCACUUCUACAACAGUCGUGUGGCCCUGGUUCAUAAAUUCUUAUUUUGAGUCAGAUUGUGACUGAUUCGUGUAUCUAUGUGUUCCGACCCUUGGCUAGGCCUUAGUAAGGGUAGUUGAGACUCUGUUUUAGCUCGGUCUUAUGCUAUAUUUGUGAUCAUUGCACUACUUAAAUGAUUUUUUAAGUGUUAAGUAUUGUUAUAACUUAUUCUAAAUUUGGACGAUUGAAUGUAUACACUAUGGUUUUGUUGAUUGUCUGCAUGUUGUGUACAUUGAUUCUGUAAGUCUGUUUCUGUGCAAGCAUUCACAUAAAAUUUUUAAAUUCUAUUUUUGUGUGUCUAUCUCCAUAAGGAGUGCAUUUUUCAUUUGCAUUAUAAUUUUGGGUUUAGUUACGAAGAGAAGGGAGUCUAAUUUGUUUUGAGUAGUUUAAAUUGUGAUUCUUUAGUACAGCGGUUAACCAUACUGUACUACAUAUACGUUAGCUUUGUUGCGUAUUAUCAUUUGAGUGGCCUAGUCCAUAUACAUGGUGUGUAGGGUUGGAUGGGCCUUUUGAGGUCCAAUGUGGUGUGCAUGGUUGGUAGGGCUUCACAUAGCUCCUUUGUGGUGCGAACGGGGGACGAAGAGGUGUUUGGCUGGAUGGGUGGGCUUUUAAUACUUGUUGCAUUCGUACACAUUUGAUUUGGUGAGUGAAUAUGAGUUUAUCUGUCUAUAUUCUGUUUGGUUCUGAGUUUGUAUCCCAACGUAAAUGAGUAUUGAAAUUUCGAUGAUAUGAUAGUUUAAAAUGUUUUGAAUUUGUUAAAACGUAAUUGGUGUGAUCAAAUGAAUGUUUCGUAUAUCUGACAGUAUGUGACUUGAUCUUUAGUCACUUGCUAUUUAGUUUGGUUUCGGAUUCACAUUGAGCUCAUGUAGCUCAUCGCUUAGUUUUUCCCUUUCAGGUACCCUCUCGAUUUCUGUAGCUAGACUUGGAAUGUCGGAGGUCUCAGAUUUUAAAAUGAACUAUUUGGUUUCCUUCUCAAUUCUUAUUUUUGUUAAAUUAUUUUGGAUUGUAAUUAAUUUUAUGAACUGUAAAAAAAGGGUUUAUUCAGAUUUCUGCAUAAUGCUAUCAUGGAUAGAAUUUUUCUUUUGAAACUGCAAAACUAAGUUUUUGAACACUUUAAUGCAUCUUGAGAAUCUCUGUUUUAAAAUGGAUAAACGUCCUUUUUUUUAAUUUGGAAAAAUGUGUCUGUAACGAAAUUUUAGAUAAUAUAUUUUGUAAAAUUUUUCUACGAUCGCUUCGGUGAUCAAUGUGACCUCUGAAAUUUGGUUGACACUUCUAGGUCGGGUUUUGGGGCAUUACACAUCAUCUCACAGGAGGUUUUCAUUCUAUGAAGAGUCAAAAAAAGAACAAAAGAUGGUUGGCUGUCAAAAUUAAUAUGGAAAAGGCAUAUAAUCAUGUUCGGUGGGAGUUUAUUGAGGCUUCUUUACAAGCUGUAAGUAUCCCAAAUUUUCUCAUUAAUGUAGUUAUGUUUGCUAUUACUAACUCUACCUUGCAGAUUUUUUAGAAUGGCGUUCCUACACAAAAAUUUAAGUCGGUUAAAGGGGUUCGUCAAGGUUGCCCUCUAUCUCCAUGCUUAUUUUUCUUAUGUAUGGAAUGGCUUGGUCACAACAUUCAGGCUCACAUUAACUCAAAACUUUGGGUUCCAAUUAGAUUGACUCAUUUGGGCCCACCUCUUUCUCACAUUUUUUUUGUAGAUAACCUCAUUAUUUUUGGUCAAGCCAAUAUUCAACAAGCCCACGUUCUCAAAGGUGUAUUGAACAGUUUUUGUGAAUUUUCUAGACAUUGAAUAAAUGCACAAAAGACCAACAUGAUUUUCUCUAAGAGGGUUGAUGAGGAUUUAGCUUGGGAGAUUAGUAAAUUUUUGGGGUUUUAUAAAGUGAAUAAUCUAGGAACUUAUUUAGGUGUCCCACUCUUCCAUGAGCAAGUUACAAAUGGCACCCUAAGGUUCAUGGUGGACAAGAUUUGUUGCAAGUUGAAUAGUUGGGAUGCGUGGAAACUUUCUCUGGCUAGAGGGGCUACAUUUGCUCAAUCAAUUAUUCUAAUGAUAUUAAGUUUUUUUACGCAGUCCAUGAUGAUUCCCAAAGGUAUUUGUGAUGAGAUUGAGUGUUUGGUAAGACAAUUUAUAUGAGGACCUUCUAAUAGAGGUAAAAAAUGGUGUUGGUUUGUUGGGAUUCGGUUUGUCAGUGAUGACUGACUGGAGAUUUGAGGUUAAGGUAGGUACAGGAUCAUAACAUGGCUUUCAUGAUGAAAAUUGACUUUAAAAUCAUAUCAGGCUUAGAAAUUAUGUGGGUUCAUGUCCUCAAGUAUAAAUAUAGAGUCUAGAAUGGCUUACCAGAAACCUUGGCUCAAAGUAGUGGUUCCUUUCUUUGGACAAGUCAGGCGAAAGUUUGGCCACUCAUUUGAGAAACUUAAUUUGGUCAAUGGGAGAUGGCUGCAGUAUUAAAUGCUAGAAAGAUCUUUGGAUUCCUACCGUUGGUCCUCUCCGUAAGCUUAUCCCAUCUCAUUUUAAAUUGGCGAUGGAUUGCCCACUUACAUGGUUACCCAAAAGAGAGUGGAAACUUUCGUGGAAAUUCCAGGGACCUUAAAUGGUUAAAUACUUCAUUUGGCUUGCCAUCCAGCAACGUCUGCUAACUAAUGUGGAAAGAAUGAGGAGGCGUAUUAGUAUGGAUAGUUCUUAUGGGUACUGUAAUUUCGAGGUUGAAGAUGUGGUACAUGCCUUAAGAGAUUAUCCUAUAGCUAGAGAUAUUUGGGAGAUUAUUGUCCCUAAGGAUAAGAUACCUCUAUUCUUCUCACGAGACCUAAUAGAGUAGGGUGUGCAAAAUUUGGGUAAAACCGAAAAAAUUCAGUUAACCGAUAGAAUUCAAUUAAUCAGUCGGUUAACCGAAUUAAUUCGGUCGGGGGUCGAUUAAUAAUUUUUUGAGUUUUCGGUUAACAGUUUCGAAACCGGUCGGUUAACCUAAUAUUUUCGGUUAACAUAAAAUAUUAAUAAAUAAAUUUAUAAUAUAUAAAUAAUCCACUAUUUAUUCAAACUCAAUUCAACAUAAACCCAAAACCCAAUCUAAUAUAUAGUAACCCAAGUACCUAACCCAACCUAAUCAUAAAAAUUACAAAUAAUGUAAUAAAUAAAAAUAAAAAUCUAAAAAUAAAAAUAAAAAUAAAAAUAUAAAAAAUAUAAUUUUAUACAAAUAAUUCGGUUAAUUCAGUUAAUUCGGGUAAUUCGAUUAAUUCGGUUAAUUCGAUUAAUUCGGUUAAUUCGGUUAAUUUUAUACUUAUUUUAACCAAAAAUAAAAAAUAUUUUUUUUGGUUAAUUCGGUUAACCAACUGAAUUAACCAAAAAAAUUUCGGUUCGGUUAAUUUUUUUUGAAAAAAUUUCGGUUCGGUUAACGGUUAAAAAUUUUGAAGGGUCGGUUAAUUCGGUUAAUAUUAUUUCGGGUCGGUUAACCGAUUGAACACCCCUAUAAUAGAGUGGCUAGCUUUGAAUAUGCAAAAUCAUCAUCAAAUACAUCCAGGGGAUAUUGAUUGACAAAGUUUCUUUUGUCUUACUGUGUGGCGGAUAUGGAAAAAUCAUAAUUUACUUUUAUUUCAGGGUAUUCCAUGGAGUGCAAAUGAUAUUAUCAAAGUAUCCUAUAGUUAGGCUAAACACCAUGGACUCUAUAAUAAUAAAGCAAUUAAGGAGGCUUUGCUAUCCCAAUACCACUUUCGAUCUUGGGAGAUAAUUGGGUUUGCUUAAGAUCUGAAGGUUUUGUUUAUGAGGGAACCGGUUUUGUUGCAGUCAGAGGUGUUUCUUGAUACUGGAAUGGAGGAUGGAUUCUAGGUUACAACAUGUACUUGGGCUUUCGCUCUGUUAUAGAAGCUAAAUUUUGGGGCAUCUUAGAUGGAGUAACGCUUCUUUUGGAGUGGAAAUAUGAUAGCAUGAUAAUUCAAAUUGACAACACGGAGAUAGUCGUAGCAAUUCAAAAUGAGGCCCAUAAUGAGUUAGACUCUACUCUGAUUAAGAGAAUUCACCAAAAUUUGUCCAAAGUAAGACAUUGGGGCAUUCAACAUAUCCCUAAGGAACAUAAUGGAGAACCUGAUGGAAUCACAAGACAUGUUAAAGAUAGGAGAAAAGUUAUUCAAAUUUUUGAAGUUUCCCCAUUGGGGAUCUAAUUCUUUUUUAUUGUAAUCUUUUCAGUUUAUUUCGCUUAUUUCACUUAUUUCACAGAAGAAAAGUACCCAAAAUCAUAAUUAAUUAACACAUUUUAUCUAUUUAUAAGAUGUUAAUUAAAAUUUUAUUUAUUUAUGAAUUAUUUAUAAUUAAUUAUUGAGAGAAUUUUACUUUCAAACCAAUGAAAACAUUUAUAUCUCAUUUAGUUAAUAGUGACAUUAAUAUUUCAACGUCCCGUCUAAAAAUUGAAUAUGUAAUAGUAAAUUUAGGGAUCUCACACGGGCAUGUGUUUUGGACACACGGCUAUGUCCGAUGGGCACACAGGCAUGUGAGACCCUCACAUGGCCGUGUCUACCCUGUACUCUAUUUUAGCACAAAUGGGCAGAGACUUACACGGUCUGUUCAAACGGCCAUGUCCCUAGCUCACAUGAGCGUGUGGCUCAGCCACAUGGUCGUAUGCCUCCUCCCACACGAGCGUAUUGACCUCUACACUGCCUAGGCAUUUCUACAUGACCAUAGCACACGACCAUGUGGUUCUAAGUCACCAAUUUUAGUUCUGUGUAUGUUUUUAUUUGAAAGUGUGUCUAUGUGUUUCGAACCUUGGCUAGGAUUUAUUAAGGGUAGUUAAGACUCUGAUCUGGGCUUCGGCUUAUGUAUUAUUUGUGACUGUUGUGUGAGAUGUCUGAUUCUUAACCUAGUUAGCUAGGUGCAUGUGCAUGUUUGUUUUUAUCUGACUAUCUGUCAAUGUUUUCAUUGUUUCUGUGAGGUUGUACACAUACAUGCACUUGUAUAAAGUAAUUUUUGGUUUGGUUGUGAAGGGAAGGGAGAUUGAUUAUGAUCUGAUCUGGUAGCCUAACUGCAACAUGUUUGUAUAGCGGUUUACCGGAAUGCAUUGUAUUGCAGAUACGCUAGCUUUACUGCGUAUUAUUAUCUGAGUAGCUUAAUUGACAUACAUGGUGUGUAGGGUUGGAUGGGCCUUUCAAGAUCCUAUGUGGUGUGUUUGGUUAGAUGAGCUUAUACAGCUCUUUCGGGCUGUGAUUGGGGGACGAAGAGGUGUGUUGGCUGGAUGGAUGGGUUUUUAUUACUGGACUACAUUCAUACGCAUCUGUUUGUGUGUUCUAGGUGUAAGAAUAUUUGACCGUAUUCUAUUUGACAGAAUAACACUUGUGACUGAGUGUUUGUGUAUGACAUGGUGUGCUUGAAUUGUUAUGUUCUGUUGGAACGUUGAUUCCAAGUUUACUUUCUGAUUCUGUGUAUAUCUAUAAGUAUGUUUCGCUAUUGAAUUAAGUUUCGUAAUUCUAUUAUUAGUCACGUGUCGAACUCACACUGAGCUUGUGUAGCUCACUCCCUUAGUGUUUCCUCUUUCAGGUACAUUUCUGAAUUCUGAUGCUGGACUCAGCAUGCCAGAGGUCUUGGAGUUUCAUGUUUUAUAUAAUUAGUUUAAGUACUGUUUUGAAAACUAUGGUAUGAAUUUUUGUAUUAAAUACAUGUAAGCAUUAUUUGGACUGAGGUUUUUGUAAUACCGAGACUUUAUGUCUGAGAGUUAUUAUGGAACUUAAAUACUGUAAUGUUUUUCAGUUUAAAAUUUCCCACGAUCACUUCGGUGAUCAAUGUGACCUUCGAAAUUUGGUCUAAACUCCUAGAUGGGUAUUGGGGUGUUACAAAGCAAAAUACGAGAAUAAAAUUCUAAAUCCAAACAGUUCAAAAUAUACAGAGAGUCCAAAAUUUACAAAACUCUAAAAUCAAAAUCAAAAUAAAUCAAAUUUACAAAACUACGAUAAUAAUCGAGCUUUCGAUUUCACCAAUCCACCUGAGGAUUACCUGAAAAUAUUAGUCAAACAGAUAGUGAGUUUUCGAAACUCAGUGUAUAACGAAUAACUUUAAAUAGCUAAUGUGUAUCAAAUAGAUUUAUAAGAAAUAGAAUCAUAUCAGAGUAAUACAGAUACAAAUAUAUAUAAUUCUACCGUCAUUCUGUACACACCAACUCCGACCAUCCCAAAACACCAUGAGGGGUAUAAAACACCCACCCAGCCGUACACAGCGUUUAGUGUCGAUAAGACACUUUCUAGAAUAUAUGCAGCUGAGCUGCCAGUUAAUAGCUGAAUUAUUGCCUUUUCAGUACUCCACAAGAUAUAUAUAUAACCCAUCCCAAAUGCAAAUACAUAACGUAACAAAUAUCAGAUAUAUUUUCUGUAUAUACACAUGGCAUAACAGACACAGAACGUACAUAGCAUUUUCUGGUUUUCUUUUAACCUAUUACACCGUUUUCUCAUCAUAUGAUGUUUCAGUUAUACAAGUAGAUAUCGAAAAUCAUGCUUACAAUUGACCAAAUUUCAUAUUUUACAGUCUAUUUGAACACAUAUCGACCCCACGGGAGGGCCACGAUCAAUCAGAACGACGUGUACGGCUCUAGAAAAAAUUUUAGAAUUUUGGGCUCACAUGCUCGUGUGGCCCCAUACGCCUGUGUGGUCCUCACGGCCCAAAUAGUCCAGACCAUGAGUCACACACAAUCCAGCACGCAGUUUGUCACAUGAUUAUGUGUCACACACGGCCUACCACACGGCCGUGUGAAGUCGAUUGUAAGCUUUAUUGGUGUCGAAACCAUCUUUCAAAAUUUAAAAUUUAGUGAAAAUGGGGAAAUUGACUUUUUGAAAAUAAAACAUGGAGUCACCACCAAUCUUUUGUUUUGGUGUGAUCGGGUCACCAAAGAAUUUGGUUAUUUUAAUAAAACAUUUUUGGUUUACCAAAAACAACGAUUAUGGUCUACGAAAAUUUUAGAAAACGGGCUCGGGAGUCGGUUACGUAUGAGGAAGGGUUAACACCCUCACUACGCCCAAAAUUGGUACCAAAUUGAUUAAAUACUGUCCUUAUGUCUAAAAUUAAAAAUGUUUUUGAAAUGUGGUUCUUUUUUAAUAACAUUUGAAUAACCCGAGUUGGUUGCCAAAAAUUUUCUUGUUUCGACGUCCGAAAGUUUAUAAUUUGAAAUUAACAAAAGGAUGCCCAACCAUUUGGUCCAACAAAAAAUCGAAAUCUAGCACAGUAGAGCACGAUUCCUUGAAUUUCUGAACAUCGAACGUUGCCUCACCUUAGAAAAUACGAGUGAAAUUCCAAAGAGAUAUUCGAUUAUUUUGAACAAAUGGGAAAUUGCAACCCAGCACGAUAGGGUACUAUUCCCCGAAUUGCCAAACAUUGAAUAUCGCCUUCGUUUUAAAGGGUUUUGUGAAAACCUAAAGGAAUAUUCGAUUGUUUUGAACAAACGAGAAAUCACAACCCAGCACGAUAGGGCAUGAUUCUCGAAUUAUCAAACACCAAGUAUUGCCUUCGUUUUAAAGGAUUUUUAGAAGAUAUGAGUGAAAUUUUGAAGGGAUAUUCGAUCAUUUUGAGCAAACGCAAAAUUGCAACCCAACACGUUAAGGCACUAUUCCGCGAAUUGCCAAAUAUUGAAUCUCGUAUUCGUUUUAAAGAAUUUUUAAAUGAAUACUUAUAAAACUAGCUUAAAACGUAUUAAUGCAUUUUUUUGAAGUGAGACGAAAUCAAUCAUAAAAUUUGGAUUUUAUAAAACCACAUUUCGAAAAUCAAAAGGAAAACGAUGAAUGGGGUAAUAUGCUCAUGAGAUACAAUCAAUUAACGAACUAAAAAUUAAGUAUAACUAACCUAAAAAAUAUAAUCCGAUCACAAUCAUGCAUGGGAAAAUAAUUGACAUAACAAUAUCAAAACAAAAAUUAAAAUAACAAUGGAUCGCACAAAACAAAAUAAAGCAAUACACGAUAGUAUGUCACAAUAAUACACAAAACCUAAUUUGGUAUAAUCAAUGCAAGAUAUACGAAAUAAGAUAAGAAUAAAGAAAAUGCGGUAUAAGACAACUUUAUAAUAAUAACGAAUUAAUGAACACAUAAUGUACAUACUACCUGAGUGGACUAAUUUAUAUAAAAAAAAAACUAGGAAUAUAAUUCUUGAAAUAAAUAUUAUAGCAUAAAACAUUUGAAUUGAAUAAUAUGUAGAAUAUUUUAAACACAAAUUCAUUUAAAAAGAAUUUAACAAUAUACACAAUAGUUUGAAUAAUAUAUAUAAUAUGAAAGAAUAAUAAAGCACAUGAUAAGACGUAAUGUACAUAAUAGAUCCAUAAGACAUGCACAUAUAAAUAGGUUUAAGAACGAUUAUUCGUAGGAAUAGUAUGAAAAUAAUAAUGCAUAUAAAAUUAACUAGUCUAUCUUAUGUACAUACCAUUAUACUCAAAAGUAUUUUAAAGAGAUAAUAAAUAAAUAUUAGAAUAACCUAAUAUAAAGAAGCAAUAAUUUUAAGUACAAAAAUGAAGUUCUUGAAUAAUCUUACAUAUAUAUAGAAACAUUAGAUGAAUCUUAAAGCAAGAAGCAUUUUAAAAAAACCUAUUAAAAUAAUGUAUGUACAUAUAUACACGGAAAAAUUUAAAUGCGACGUUAUACAAAAUGUGUAGAUAAUAUAAUGAAAAGAAUUUCAAAAUAACUACACAAAUAAGAAAAGCUAAAUUAUUAAAAUAGAUUAACACUUAUAAGAAUAUUAAAUGAAUUUUAAAAUGGCAAAUUGCUCAAAUAACAAAAAUUCAACUAAAAUACUAUAUAUGUACAAAUAUAUACAAAUGUUCAAAUAAAAUACCGUACAUAAUAUUAACAUAUCAUAAUAUGAAGAUUUUAAAAUAGAAAAUUUUAAAACAAAGUAAAAUUAUUAAUGUUAUUUCAACAGAAUAAAAAGAUUAAAGAAACGAAUUAUCAAGAUAAACAAUGCAUGGUGUUGAUAGAAAACUAAAUUAAAAUGAAUGUAAAGUAAUAGAGAUAAUUUAUAAAUAAAACAAACUACUAAUGUUAAAAUAAGGACCCAUGCACAACACGCGCGAAUUUACAGGAACCAAAACUGAUAAUUUCCCCGAUCCCUAAACACUGCGUUGAGAGACGGGCCAAAAUGUAAAAACGUCCAAAUUAACGAGCUAAUUUAGAAACACGUGAUAGAACAGAUAAGGUGCGAUUGGAUGCUUAUGCAAAUGCAGAGGACUUAAUGCAAAAUUAACCCUCCAAGGCCAAACGCGCGGAUCUUGUCCGAACAUGGGCCAGGUCAUCGGGUCGGUGUGUCAUGAAACGACGCCGUUUCAACACCAAAUCUCACGGCUCAAAACGACGUCGUAUGAAACACAUAUAUACACAAAGAUUUACCCUAAAAAGGCUUCAUUUGGCAGAUUUAAAACUUCUUAAUAAUCCCUUCUUUCAAAAUCCCUUUGACCCACUCCCUUCUCUCGGCCAGCCUGCGAGCGACGGUGGAGUCAAGUGUGCCUCGUCUCCGUCACGGCUCCAAACAGAACCCUACGAAUCCGCACGCCUCUGAACCGGAGAAGUGGCCACCGACUAGGUCGACGCCGGUCAACGGGUGAGAAAGCCUUUCCCUUUUUGAUUUUUUUUAAAUACAAAACAAAUGACCCAAAAACUCUUUUUGUGUUUUGAUUCCUUUCUUUUAAUUUCUAUACAUGUAUGCGUAAGAAAAGAACCUCCUCUUUCUGAAAUAUAUAAAAAAGGAAAAAAACGAUGAACAAAAGAGACACCUUUAAGGUUUUUCUUCCGAUUGUUUCUUCUGGUAUUUUCUUUUUUUAUUUCAGUGUUCGUAACCAAAAAACAACGAAGUUUCCAGGCCUUUAUAGCCGAAAGGAAAGAAAAUCAAAAUCAAAAAAUACAAUUUCCAUCCUUUCCCUUUUGCUGUGCUGUGGUUUUUUGUUUUCUUUUGCACGUACGGAGUGCGUGGCGGCGUACGGAGGCUGUGCUGGCAUACGGGGGUUGCUGGUCGUACGGGGCGAGGGCUGGGGCGUGCGUGGGGAGCUGAGCGGCGCCUAGGGUUUUUCUUCCCUCCUUUGGCUGAAAAAUGUUUAGGAUAAUCGGGCUAGUUGGGCUUUAGGGCAUUUGGGUCUAGGUUUGGGCUUUAAUGAUGGACUAUUAGUUUGGUUUUAUUCUUUGGACUUUUGGUUUAAUAAUUUAUUAUUUAUUUUGUAUUUAUUAUGGGUUUCUAGUGGACCCGGGCCAAAAUUGAUCACUACAAUUGGCUUUUUUCAAUUGUUGUUUUACUUGUUUUUCGAUACACACCUGAUUCAAUUUUGAUGUAGGCACCCCCACGAGCCUACCAGAACCUAAAUACAUCGAUCAAAACACUAAAUCAAUAAUGAAAAUCAACAAUUUGAAGAACCAAGUCCUCGAUUAUCCUCAAAUAGCAAAACCAACAACCCAAUCUAAACCAUCCCAAAAAAAAAUACACGCCAACCCAUACCACUUAACGAAUAGGAACAAGGUGAAAAUCAAAUUACCGGAGGAACACCAAUCGUCUCACGAGUCCCCACUUACAACACACGAAAGAAAAACACACAAUUAUAAUCAAUUCUAAAAGUCGAUUGCACAUCGCAAUUUUAAUUCUCACACCCAAAACUCAAACUUAUUUAAGAUAGAACACCAAAUUACCUGACAAACAACCAGCAACAGAGUGAAAAGCAGAAUCACAGUAAGGAAAUAGACCAAAAUUAAGAAUAAAAAUUAAAUGGCAACCCAACGAUCAUUGAAAAAUUAAAGAGCAGGAACAAAAGAAGAAAAACAAGGCAAAAGCCAAAGUGGAAUCACUAGGAGGGAAGAAUGAUGACAUCACAAUUGAGGGAUUGAAAGAACCAAAUAAAAAAAAAACAAAAAAGAAAAGGAAUGUGGGAAAUAAAAAAAAUAUUAUUUGCUUUUAAAACAAAAACAUAAAUACUCAAGAUACAUUCCUAAAAGCAAGGUCUGCAAUCUAUACCCACAACUAAUCAGAUAUUAACUAGAGUCCUUAAUUUGACAAAACAUAUAAUAUUCCCACUUACUCGCAAAAAUAUUCAAAUCCAAGACUUUAAAGACACACUCAAAGCACUGAGCCUCUAAAACAGAUUCUUAUUUUUUGACAAAAUUUAAUAAAAUAAAAGUUAAUAAUUUUGGGGCAUUACAGAAUUAAUAAGAUUGGAUUUUUACAGAGACUAAAUAUUAAAUUCUAAAAAGCAUAGGAUUAAUAGCAUAUUUUAACCAAUUUAUUAUAAUAAAAAAAUAAAAGAAUAUAUAGUAAUUAAAAAUUUUAUAUUUUCUUAUUUUUUUUAAUGGAUUAUGAGGAGUAAUGUGAAGAAAAUUUAGGAGAAAUUUCGAAAAUUCGCUUCUUUGUAUGUGUUUUAAAAGAAGACAUUUAUUUUGAAAUUUCUUAGACUUGACACCAAUGAAUUUAAUGUAGGAGGAGUGUGCGAGGGUUGAAACAUAUUAAAGCAGGCUCUCUGGGCUAUUUUAUCAUUUCAACUUCCCUUAUUCCGUCUUGCUAUCAUGAACUACAACACUUUCUUUCAUCUUCUUUUAGCUUUAUUCAUACCAUGUUCCGUACUUUGCUUGGCUACGACAGCCAGGAAUCUCAAUUCCGAUCAGUUUACACUUCUGGAGUUUAAGGAUCGCAUUACCCGUCCUCAAAAUAUCUUGACGAACAAUUGGACAGUCUCUACCUCUGUUUGCAACUGGAUUGGUGUGGCAUCCUCCAUAAAAGAGUUAUAGCUUUGAAUCUUACAAGCAUGAAUCUUAGGGGUACCAUACCUCCACACCUUGGAAACCUUUCAUUUCUACUUUCUCUCGACUUGAGUAGCAACAAAUUCUAUGGCCAUCUGCCUAAAGAAUUGUGCUAAUUGCAUCGUUUGAGAAUCAUUCGAUUAAACUACAACGGUCUUAAAGGGAAAAUUCCAUCAUGGCUUGGGAACUUACACAAAGUUCGAAGCCUGGAAAUGGAAAAUAAUAACUUUACAGGCACAAUCCCUCAAACACUUGUUAACAUAUCCAAUCUAGAGAUACUGAACUCGAGAUUCAAUCAAUUAUCUGGCCAGGUUCCUUCUUCCAUCUUCAAGAUUUCUUCUCUGAAGGUUAUUGAUCUCUCCAGCAGUAGCCUAUCAAGUAGUUUACUUAAUGAUAUGUGUCAACAUCUUCCCAAGCUUGGAAGGCUUUACUUGAGUUGGAAUGAAUUAUCUGGUAACAUUCCAUCAAAUAUAGCAAAUGCAACAGCCUUCAAAUUUUGUCGUUGUCCAUUAAUCAAUUUGUGGGGAUCAUUCCAAAAAGCAUUGGAAAUCUAACACGACUCGAACAUUUAUAUUUGGGGUCAAAUAAUUUAGAAGGUACUGGAUUUUUUUAAUUUCUUUAAUUUAAAGCAUUUUUUUUUAUAGAAAAGCUUGAUUUGUUGAUAACAAAAGUGAGAGCUUUUUAUUUGAUUCAAUGCAAAAUAGUUAAUUUGAUAAAAAAAUGUAUGCUUAAAUAUAUUAAAAUCUAAUAUCUCCAAAUUACUGUAGAACAGAAAAGAAAACCUCUUUGACUUAUGCUAACAAAAUAGGUAGUUUAACACCUUAGAUUUUUCAACUAUGUCUGCAGGUAAGAUACCAUCAAGUAUUGGUGAAUGUUACAAGCUUCAGAUUUUAAAUUUAGCAGCAAAUCAAUUCACUGGGCUCAUUCCAAAAAGUAUUCUUAAUUCAACUAUGCUUCAAGAAAUAUAUCUAUCUAACAACAAUUUAGGAGGUAUGUUUUUCACUUCAAUUUUUUUUUCCGGAGUCCAAAAACAUUCUGUUUAAUUUGUUUCUUCUAUUUUUGCUCAUAUACUUUAUAAGAAUUGAUUUAUUUUAAAAUUUAUAUGCAUAUACAUUUAUAUACAUAGAUUCGAAUACCAUGCACAUGAUUAUAAAAUUUUAAUUUUUUUAAUUAGUUUUUAAAUAAAAUUUUUAAAUUAUUCUAAUUAGUUUUUUUAGUUUGUUAUUACGUUAAACAUAAUUAAAAUAUAUUAAUUUAUUUAAUAGUUCAAAUGUAAUAAUAAAAUUUUAAGCCAUAAUUAAACAUAUGUAUUAUAUUUAAUAUGUAAUUAAAAAAGAACAACAUUUUUCAAAAUAAAAACUAAUAAAUAUAAUUAAAAUAUAUCAAUUAUUUUUUGUUAAUAAAAAAUAGUGCUCAUAGAAAAUUCAUGAUCAUCAUUAAAGCAUCUGUAUAAAAUGUAAAAUUUGAUAUAUUCACUAUUUAAUUUUAUUUUUUUAUAUUUAAUAAAUUGAUCAUAAAAGUUUGAAAUGAUAUAUAAUUAAUAUAAAUAUAAUAGAUUAGAUAAAUAUAUUAUUUAUAAAAUUUAUAUAUAAAUUAUAAAGUCGUUUGUUAUAUAAAUAAUUAAAAUUUACUAUUUAAAAAUAAAGUACUCUUUUACUUAAUCAGAACAUGUAUACUAUUAUUUAACCAAAUUUUUAUUUAAAUUUUUUAUACAUUUUAAUUUUAUUAUGUACAUUUUAUUACCUCCAUGAAUCAUAUAUAUUAAUAAUGUUAUUGAUUGAGAUGGUGUCACAAAUUAACUCGACACCAACUUAGGAUUAACAACAACACCAUGAUAAAUAAUUACAUUAAUUUAAUAUUAUUAAUCUAAUUUAUUAAUAUGUUUAAAUUUCAUUUUAUUUACAAAUUAAUUUACUUUUUUUAAUAUCGUACAUAUAUCAUGUAUUAUUAUUAAUUAGUUUUAUUAUAUUUUUAACUAUGUGUGCAGGUAGUUUGCCUGAUAAUUUGUGUCAACAUCUUCCCAAACUUAAUGGCUUUCCUUGGAACAGAAUGAAUUAUCUGGUAAUAUUCCAUCAAGUAUAGGCGAAUGUUUCAAGCUUCAGAUUUUACGUUUAGCAGCAAAUCAGUUCAUUUUUAAUUCAACUAUGCUCCAAGAAAUAAUGCUACCGAACAACAGUUUAGAAGGUAUGUUUUUCACUUUAAUUUAUUCCAAACUCCAAAAACAUUGGGUUGGAUUUGUUUCUUCUUUUUUUGGUCGUACAAUUUAUCAUUUUAAUUUGAUAAAAAACAACAAUAAGAUUUAUAUGAAUUGAUUUAUUUUAAAAAUUUUAAUUCCAUUAAACUUAAAAAAGUAAUUAAUUUUUUAUUGCAUAAACCAAUCUAUUUUAUAUAAGUAAAAAAUAUUACAAAUACUUUAUCUCUGGAAGAAAAGAAACCAACGUGGUAAAUAUAUUUAUUUUAAAAAUGAAACAACUAUAUGUAUACAUAUACAUGUAUAUAAUGUUUUAAACAUUUUAUUUUUUAAUUAACUUUUAACAAUGGUUUUUUAAUUAUUCUAAUUAGUUUUUUUAGUUUCUUAUUUAAAUGUUGAAUAUAAUUAUAAUUUAUUAAUUUAUUUAAUAGCUCAAAUAUAAUAAUGAAUUUCAAGCCAUAAUUAAAGCAUAUGUACAAUAUUUAAUAUUUAAUAUAAUUUUUACUUCAUGUAAUUAAAAAAUAAUAAUAUUAUUAAAAAUAUAACUAAUAAAUAUAAUUAAAAUCUAUCAAUAAUUUUAUUUAAUUUAAAAAUAGUGCUAAUAAAAAAUUGAUCAUCAUUAAAGUAUAUGUAUAAAAUAUAAAAAUUGAUAUAUUAAAUUAUUCACUAUUCAAUUUCAUUUUUUUCUUUUCUUAAAAGUUAAUAAUUUGAUGUCAAAAGUUUGUAGAUGAUAUAUAAUUAAUAUAAAUAUAGUAUAUUAGAUUAUAUAUAUUAUUUAUAAAAUUUAUACAUGAAUUAUAAAGUUACUUGUUAUAUAAAUAAUUAAAAUUUGCUAUUUGAAAUUAAAGUUUUUUUUUUACUUUUUGGGUGAAUGUGAAUAUUUACUGUUAUUUAAGUCUCUAAAUGAGUUGAUGUCAUGAGUCAAUUCGGUAUUAACUUGGUUAGAGAAAUUGUAAAAAUAUCAUUUCGUAUUUAAAAUAAGUUAUAUUAUUUGAGGGUAUUUUCUUUUUAUUUAAAAAAAAAGGUUUAUGGUUUGAGUCAAAUUUUAUUACGCACACUUUAUUACUUGCAUGAAUUGUAUAUAAUAAUAAUGUUGUUGAUUGAGGUGAUGUCAGUGUUAGAAUUAAGUGACCCGAAUUCUUAUUUAAAUAAAAUACGAUGGAAAAUAAAAUAAAAGUAAAAUCCAUAUAAAACUAUACUUCUUUUAUUUUAUUUUAGAAUAAGGUUUUUUAAACCUUAUUAAACUCCAUCUAUUUUAUAUUGAUUAGGAUAAGGUGUUUCAAUCCUACUAGAAUAUGGCUUUACAAGCCUAUAAAUAGACAUAGUCUAUUCCUCUUGUAUUGAUUCAAAUUUUCGACAUAGUGAAUUUUCUUCUCCUCUGCCCGUGGUUUUUUCCCGAAAGAGUUUCCACGUAAAAUUUGUGUUUUCUUUAUUUUAUUUUCUUUAUUUUAUUUUAUUUUUUUCACAAAUUGGUAUCCGAGCUUCCGGGUUGUUCAUUUCAAUCACAGUAAUGGCGUCUUUGAAGUAUGAAAUUCCGCUGUUGGAUUGUAACACCAGAUUUGCAUUGUGGCAGAUUAAGAUGCAAGCAGUUCUUGCGCAGAUGGAUCUAGAGGAUGCCCUGCUAGGGUUAGAUAAGAUGCCUUCGACAUUAACAGAUGAAGAGAAGAAGCGUAAGGAUCGAAAGGUGUUUACACAAUUACAUUUGCAUUUGUCCAACGAAAUUUUGCAAGAUGUGAUGAAAGAGAAGACUGCCGCUGCAUUAUGGAAGAGGCUAGAACAAAUAUGUAUGUCGAAAACUCUAACAAGCAAGUUGCAUAUGAAGCAGCGUCUUUAUGCUCGUCGUUUGGAGGAAGGUGCAUCUGUACACGAAUACUUAACAGUGUUUAAAGAAAUUCUCUCAAACUUGGAGGCCAUGGAGGUUCAGUAUGAUAAAGAAGAUCUAGGGUUGAUUCUACUUUGUUCGUUGCCCCCGUCUUAUUCAACCUUUAGAGACACGAUUUUAUAUAGCCGCGAGUCUUUCAUAGUUGAUGAGGUUCAUGAUUCUUUAACCUCGUAUGAUAAGAUGAAGCAUCUUGUGGUUAAACCCAACUCUCAGGGAGAGGGUCUCAUUGUUCGUGGGAGAUAAGAUCGAAAUGCUGAUGAUGAUCGUGGUAGGACACAGGAACGGAAUCUUCAUGGUAAAUCUAAGGGUAGAUCGAAGUCUUCAAACAGAGGUAAAACUUGUAACUUCUGCAAGAAGAAAGGGCACAUUAAAUCUGAGUGCUAUAAGCUAUAAAAUAAGAUUAAAAGGGAGGCUGCGAAUCAAAAGGGAAAACAACUAGAAAAUUCCGGUGAAGCUGAUGUUGUAGAAGACUACAGCGAUGGUGAACUUCUAGUCGCUUCUAUCAAUGAUUUUAAAGUAAGCGAGGAGUGGAUACUUGAUUUAGGCUGCACCUUCCACAUGAGUCCCAAUCGGGAUUGGUUUACAACUUACAAAACAGUGUCUGAAGGUGUUGUUUUGAUGGGAAAUAAUGCUUCGUGUAAAAUCGCAGGUGUUGGAACAAUUAAAGUUAAGAUGUUUGAUGGAGUUGUCAGAACACUUAGUGAUGUACGGCAUGCUCCAAAAUUGAAAAGAAAUUUAAUUUCAUUGAGUACUCUUGAUUCAAAAGGGUACAGAUACACAGCUGAAAGUGGGGUUUUAAAUAUUUCCAAAGGGUUCCUUGUUGUGAUGAAAGGGCAGAGAAAAAUUGCCAAGUUAUAUAUUUUGCAAGGUUCUACUGUUACUGGUGAUGCAGUUGUUGCUUCCUCUUCCUUGUCAGAUGAUGAUAUUACUAGACUUUGGCAUAUGCCCCUAGGGCAUAUGAGUGAGAAUGGCAUGGCAGAAUUGAGCAAAAGAGGAUUUCUUGAUGGGCAAGGAAUUUGCAAACUGAAUUCCUGUAAGCACUGUGUUUUUGGGAAGCAAAAGAGAGUUCGAUUCACUAGAGGAAUCCAUAACACGAAGGGAACGUUGAAGUAUAUUCAUUCUGAUCUGUGGGGGCCAUCCAGAGUGCCUUCGAGAGGUGGAGCUAAUUAUAUGCUAACCUUUAUUGAUAAUUUUUCCAAAAAAGUUUGGGCAUUCUUCCUGAAGCAGAAAAGUGAUGUGUUUUCCAUAUUUAAGUCUUGGAAAAUUAUGAUUGAAAAACAGACGGGAAAACAGAUAAAAUACCUCCAUACAGACAAUGGCUUAGAGUUCUGUUCUGAUGAGUUUAAUAGAUUGUGCAAGUCAGAAGGGAUCAUGAGACACUUGACAAUUUGUCAUACUCCACAGUAAAACGGCGUUGCAGAACGAAUGAACAGAACGAUCAUGGAGAAGGUUCGAUGUAUGUUGUCAAAUGCCAACUUACCGAAGUCAUUUUGGGCAAAAGCAGCCUCUACUGCAUGUUUUUUGAUUAACCGAUCUUUAUCCGUUGCCAUUGAGAAAAAGACUCCACAAGAGGUAUGGUCUGGUAAUCUUGCUAAUUAUUCUGAUUUAAAGAUUCUUGGGUGUCCUGCGUAUGCUCAUGUUGAUAAUGGAAAAUUGGAACCGAGAUCCAUUAAAUGCAUUUUUCUUGGUUAUAAAGCUGGUGUAAAAGGGUAUAAGUUAUGGUGUCCUGAAAAUAGAAAAGUUGUGAUUAGCAGAGAUGUUGUUUUUGAUGAAACUACUAUGCUACCUAACUUAUCUCUUAAAGACUCCUCCAAUAAAGAAAGCCAAAAGUAGGUGGAGCAUCAGAUUAAUACAGAGUCAACUCCUUAAGCUAUAAUAAAAAUUGAGAAUAGAGUUUCUUCUUCACCAUAAUACUCUAUCGCCAAAAACAGAACUAGAAGAGAAAUUAAACCUCCAAAGAAGUAUGCCGAAGCUAAUAUAGUUGCUUAUGCUUUAAAUGUGGCUGAAGUUAUAGAUGCGAAUCAAGAGCCAUCUAAUUAUUCUGAGGCGGUUAGCUGUGAAGACUUAGAAAAGUGGAUGUUUGCUAUGCAAGAAGAGAUAGAAUCACUCUACAAAAAUAGAACAUGGGACCUUGUGAAACUUCCUAAAGGUAAAAGGGUUGUUCGUUGUAAAUGGGUGUUUAAAAAGAAAGAAGGGACUCCAGGAGUUGAAAAACCCAGAUAUAAAGCAAGACUUGUUGCAAAGGGUUAUAGUCAAAUUCCAUAAGUGGACUUCACAGAUGUGUUCUCUCCAGUUGUUAAGCAUAGUUCGAUUCGAGCUUUGCUUGGUAUUGUCGCCAUGCAUGAUUUGGAGCUUGAGCAGUUAGAUGUAAAAACUGCAUUUCUGUAUGGAGAACUUGAGGAGGAUAUUUACAUGCAACAACCAGAGGGUUUUAUAGUCUCAAAAAAAGAGGACUAUGUUUGCUUGCUGAGAAAGUCCCUUUGCGGUUUGAAACAGUCACCAAGACAGUGGUACAAGAGGUUUGAUUCUUUUAUGACUUCUCAUGAUUUCAAAAGAUGUAGUUUAGACAGUUGUGUUUACUUUAAGAAAAACAGUGAUGGUUCUUUUGUAUAUCUACUUCUUUAUGCUGAUGAUAUGUUGAUAGCAGCAAAAGAUAAAUGAGAGAUAAGAAAGAUCAAAGCCCAACUAAGUGAAGAAUUUAAGAUGAAAGAUUUAGGACCAGCAAAGAAGAUAUUUGGUAUGGAGAUUCUCAGAGAUAGAAAAGCAAGUAAAUUGUACCUAAGUCAGAAGGGGUACAUUGAGAAAGUUCUUUGUAGGUUCAAUAUGCAGAGUGCUAAGCCUGUUAGUACUCCUUUAGCAGCCCAUUUUAGACUUUCAUCGGCUUUGUCUCCACAAUCAGAUGAUGAGAUUGAGUACAUGUCACAUGUUCCAUACUCUAGUACUGUAGUGGGAUCUCUCAUGUAUGCUAUGGUUUGCUCAUGUCCAGAUUUAUCAUAUGCAGUCAGUGCAGUUAGCAGAUACAUGGCAAAUCCCGGUAAAGAACAUUGGAAAGCAGUUCAGUGGAUUUUAAGAUACUUACGAGGCACUACUGAUGUUUGCUUACAGUUUAGAAGAACUAAAGAUGGAGUCAUAGGGUAUGUUGAUGCUGAUUUUGCUGGAGACCUUGAUAGAAGAAGAUCUCUCACAGGUUACGUCUUUACAAUAGGAUGUUGUACAAUUAGUUGGAAAGCCACUUUGCAAACUACAGUCGCUUUGUCUACCACUGAAGCUGAGUAUAUGGUGAUUACUGAGGCUUGUAAAAAAGCUAUUUGGUUGAAGGGACUAUUUAGUGAACUCAAUGAAGACCUUCAAAUCAGUACAGUAUUUUGUGACAGUCAGAGUGCCAUCUUCCUUACAAAAGAUCAAAUGUUUCAUGAGAGAACAAAACAUAUUGAUGUUCGGUAUCAUUUUGUUCAUGAUAUUAUUGCUCGUGGUGAUAUUGUUGUGAGCAAAAUUAGUACUCAUGAAAAUCUUGCAGAUAUGAUGACUAAGUCAGUUCCUAUAACCAAGUUUGAGCAUUGCUUAGACUUGGUUGGUGUUCAUUGUUGAAGAUAAACCCUUAAGGGGUUUUAUGGAAGAGGUGGAGAACUUGUUCGCGAUGAAGAACUUGUUCAUUGAGAAUUUGUGUCAAGGUGGAGAUUGUUAGAAUUAAGUGACCCGAAUUCUUAUUUAAAUAAAAUACGAUGGAAAAUAAAAUAAAAGUAAAAUCCAUAUAGAACUAGACUUCUUUUAUUUUGUUUUAGAAUAAAGUUUUUUAAACCUUAUUAAACUCCAUCUAUUUUAUAUUUAUUAGGAUAAAGUGGUUCAAUCCUACUAGAAUAUGGCUUUACAAGCCUAUAAAUAGACAUAGUCUAUUCCUCUUGUAUUGAUUCAAAUUUUCGACAUAAUAAAUUUUCUUCUUCUCUGGCCGUGAUUUUUUCCCGAAAGAGUUUUCACGUAAAAUUUGUGUGUUCUUUAUUUUAUUUUUUUUCACAGUCACAUAUUAACUUAACAUUAACUUAUGAAUUGAAAACAUCACCAUGAUAAAUACAUUUGACGUAUUCAUAUGUUUAAAUUAUGUUUUACUUACACUUUAAUCUAUUUUUUAUUUUAAUAUCGUACAUAUGUCAUGUGUUGUUAUUAUUAUUAAUUAGUUUCAAACCAUACAUUUCAUUAUUUAUCACAUGUUAUUUUAAAAUAAAAAUUUAUGUUCUAUAUUGUUUAUUUUAAUAUCGCACAUAUGUCAUGUGUUAUUUUAUAUUUUAAAUAGUUUUUAUGUAUUUUUAUAGUUUAUAUUUUUUCUCUUUUUAAAUAAUUUUAAUAAAAUUUUAAAAAAAUAGUCAUUUUUAAAGAUUUUUUAAGGUUUUUUUAUGAUAAUAUGACAUCAACGUAUGACAUGUGGUAGUAUAUGAUUAGUUGAAUAUCCAAGCGACAACCAAUUUUUAUUGUCCAAUUGGCUAAAUUAAAAAUGCCUACUAAUGUUAGGGAUUGAAGUGGAUAAAAAAAACUUAAAGACUAAAGUUAGAAAAAUGAUAUAGUUCAAGGACCAAAAUGUGUAUUAAGAUUUUUUAAAAGAUGAUUUUUUUUUUUUUUGGAAGGGAAUGGAAUUUCUUUUAAGUGAAUUAUAGUUUCUUGAGAGAGUAGUAAUUUUCUAGUAGUCAGUAAGUUUAAUAAUAUUAUCAUUAAAGAUAAGCUAUUUGAUUUUUAUAUAAUUUUUUAAUUAAAUUAAUAUCACAAAUGGAGUAAAACCAAUCAUAGUAAGCACAUUAUUAUAGUAAUUUAGAUUAAUAGGAAUUAUCAAAUUUAUGAUUAAGGAUUAUAAAUUUAUUUAAUUCCAAUCUUAUACCUUUUUAAAUUAUAAGAAUGGUUUUUUUUGUCUCUAUACUUUGCUUAAAUUGAGAUUUAAUUUAUAACUUUAAUUUUAACAUAAUUUGGUAUUUCAACUUUUAUAAUGUUAUUAGUUAGUUUAAAUAUUUUAUUCUAAUUAAAAUGAUUGUAUGAAUUUUAAAGAAUUAUUAGCACCGUUAAAUUUUUUUAUACUAAAUUUAGGUUUAUUAUAAUUUUUUUGUUACAUAGAUACCAAGUUUAUUUUAUUUUUCAAAAUGCUACAUCAACACUAAAUUUUUUUUAACAAUAUUAACAAAUAGACCUAAAAUUUUCAAUCCGAAAAGUAAAUGAACUAAAUCCCAAAAGAAUAAAAAAGUAAAAAUUAAAUUUUAAAUAUUUGAAGAAUACAAAAAUUUGGAGUAAAUUGUAACUUUUAAAUUUUAUACAAUAAUGUAAUAAAAAAUAAAUAAUUAACUAGAUAAAAAUAAUAUAAAUUUACUUUAAACUUGUGUUUUCCUUUCCCUUUCUGGCAUUUUAAUUUACUUAAUUAAUUUAAUUAAGCCGAAAGCCUGAAACCAUUUUCUAAUUGAUUUUAUCAAUUCACAGCUAGACAAGAUCUGUAAUUCGGCCUGUUACCCUACUGCUUAGGGGGUUAAGGCUCACCGUAUUCGAUUUACUCCGCUACUACUUAGGGAGAUAAGAUCUGUAAUUCGGCCUAUUACCUUACUGCUUACGGGGUUAAGGCUCACCGUCUUUGAUUUACUCUGCUACUACUUAGGGAGAUAAGAUCUGUAAUUCGGCCUGCUACCCUACUGCUUAGGGGGUUAAGGCUCACCGUCUUCGAUCUACUUCGCUACUGCUUAGGGAGAUAAGAUCUGUAAUUCAGCCUGUUAACCUACUGCUUAGGGGGUUAAGGCUUACUGUCUUCGAUCUACAUUACCCUACUGCUUAGGGGGUUACAUUUGCUUUUGAGCUUGUGUCGGUGUGAUUUUAGGACCACAUGGUUAGCCACACGGGCGCAUGCCGAUUCACACGGCCGUGUGGAAUUGAGGAUUAGGGUUUUUAGGCAAAUUUUGGUGCCACGCGGUCGUUUAGCUGAUUUGGGGAUUUAGUCGACUUCCACACAGCUGUGUCUCGAGGUCACACGGGCGUGUACAUUUGGUAAUUAGGGUUAGGUGAUUUGGUACCACAUGACUUGGCCACAUGGCCGUGUGGCUAAUUUUGAAGAUUUAGGGACUUAGUCAAUUUUCCACACAAAAGUGUGUUCUAGACACACGGUCGUGUCUGCCCUAUACCUUAUUUUGGCACAAACGGACAGAGAGUUACACGACCUAUUCACACGGCCAUGUCUCGGGGUCACACGAGUGUGUGCCUCUUUUCAUACGGGUGUGUGUCCCUCCACAUGGGUGUGUUGACUCUCACACGGCCUAAGCAUUUCUACAACAGCCAUGUGGCCCUAGUUCGUAAAUUCUUAUUUUGAGUUACAUUGUGACUGAUUCGUGUAUCUGUGUGUUUCGACCCUUGGCUAGGCCUUAGCAAAGGUAGUUGAUACUCUGUUUCAGCUCGGUCUUAUGCUAUAUUUGUGAUCGUUGCACUACUUAAAUGAUUGCUUAAGUGUUAGGUACUAUUAUAACUGAUUCUGAAUUUGGACGAUUAAAUGUAUACACUAUGGUUCUGUUGACUGUCUGCAUGUUGUGUACAUUGAUUCUAUAAGUCUGUUUGCGUAUAGGCAUUCGCAUAAAAUAUCUGAAUUUUAUUUUUGUGUGUCUGUCUCCAUAAGGAGUGCAUUUUGCAUUUGCAUUAUAAUUUUGGGUUUGGUUAAGAAGAGAAGGGAGUCUGAUCUGUUUUGAGCAGCUUAAACUGUGAUUCUUUAGUACAGCGGUUAACCACACUGUACUACAUAUACGUUAGCUUUGCUGUGUAUUAUCAUUUGAGUGGCCUAGUCCACGUCGUGGUGUGUAGGGUUGGAUGGGCCUUUCGAGGUCCAAUGUGGUGUGCAUGGUUGGUAGGGCUUCACAUAGCUCUUUUGUGGUGUGAACGGAGGACGGAGAGGUGUUUGGCUAGAUGGGUGUGCUUUUAAUACUUGUCGCAUUUAUAAGCAUCUGAUUUGGUGAAUGAAUAUGAUUUUAUCUAUCUGUAUUCUAUUUGGUUCUGAGUUUGUAUCCCAACAUAAAUAAGUACUGAAAUUUCGAUGAUAUGAUAGUUUAAAAUGUUUUGAAUUUGCUAAAACAUGAUUGGUGUGAUCAAAUGAAUGUUUCGUAUAUCUGAUAGUAUGUGACUUGAUCUUUAAUCACUUGCUAUUUAGUUUGGUUUCAAAUUCACACUAAGCUCAUGUAGCUCCCCGCUUAGUUUUCCCUUUCAGGUACCUUCUCGAUUUUUAUAGCUGGACUUGGUAUGCCAGAGGUCUCAGAUUUUAAAAUGAGCUAUUUGGUUCCCUUCUCAGUUCUUAGUUUUGUUAAAUUGUUUUGGAUUGUAAUUAAUUUUAAGAACUGUGACAAAAGGGUUUAUUCGGAUUUCCGCAUAAUGCUAUCAUGGACUGAACUUUUCAUUUGAAACUGCAAAACUAAGUUUUCAAACACUUUAAUGCAUCUUGAGAAUCUCUAUUUUAAAAAAAAUAAACAUUUUUUCGAAUUUGAAAAAAUGUGUCUGUAACGGAAUUUUAGAUAAUAUAUUUUGUAAAUUUUUUCUAUGAUCGCUUCGGUGAUCAAUGUGACCUCUAAAAUUUGGUUGAAACUUCUAGGUCAGGUUUUGCAGCGUUACACAUCAUCUCACAUAAGGUUAUUCAUUCUAUAAAGAGUCGAAAAAAGAACAAAAGAUGGUUGGCUGUCAAAAUUAAUAUGGAAAAUGCAUAUGAUUGUGUUCGGUGGGAGUUUAUUGAGGGUUGUUUACAGGCUAUAGGUAUCCCUAAUUUUCUCAUUAAUGUAAUUAUGUCUGCUAUUACUAACUCUACCUUGCAGAUUUUUAGAAUGGCGUUCCUACACAAAAAUUUAACUCGGCUAAAGGGGUUCGUCAAGGUUGCCCUCUAUCUCCGUGCUUAUUUGUCUUAUGUAUGGAGUGGUUUGGUCACAGCAUUCAAGCUCACAUUGACUCAAAACUUGGGGUUCCGAUUAGAUUGACUCGUUUGGGUCCACCUCUUUCUCACUUUCUUUUUGUAGAUAACCUCAUUAUUUUUUGUCAAGCCAAUGUUCAACAAGCCCACGUUCUCAAAUGUGUAUUGAACAGUUUUUUUGAAUUUUCUGGACAUUGAAUAAAUGCACAAAAAACCAACAUGAUUUUCUUUAAGAGGGUUGAUGAGGAUUUAGCUUGGGAGAUUAGUAACCUUUUGGGGUUUCAUAAAAUGAAUAAUCUAGGAACUUAUUUAGGUGUACCACUCAUCCAUGAGUGAGUUACAAAUGGCACCCUAAGGUUCAUCGUGGACAAGAUUUGUUGCAAGUUGAAUAGUUGGGAUGCGUGGAAACUUUCUCUGGCUGAAGGGGCUACAUUUGCUCAACCAGUUCUUCUAGUGAUAUUAAGUUUUUUUACGCACUCUAUGAUUAUUCCCAAAGGUAUUUGUGAUGAGAUUGAGUGUUUGGUAAGACAAUUUAUAUGAGGACCUUCUAAUAGAGGUAAAAAAAUAGUGUUGGUUUGUUGGGAUUCGGUUUGUCAACGAUGACUGACUGGUGGUUUGAGGUUAAAUAGGAAUAGGAUCAUAACAUGGCUUUCAUGAUAAAAAUCAAUUUUAAAAUCGUAUCAGCCUUAGAAGCUAUGUGGGUUCAUGUCCUGAAGUAUAAAUAUAGAGUCUAGAAUGGCUUACCGGAAACCUUGGCUCAAUGUAGUGGUUCCUUUUUUUGGAGAAGUCUGGCAAAAGUUUGGCCAAUCAUUUGAGAAAACUUAAUUUGGUCAAUGAGAGAUGGCUACAGUAUUAAAUACUAGAAAGAUCCUUGGAUUCCUACAGUUGGUCCUCUUUGUAAGCUUAUCCCAUCUCAUUUUAAUUUGGCGAUGGAUUGCCCACUUACAUGGUUACCCAAAAGAGAGUGUUUGGCAACUUUCAUAGAAAUUCGAGAAACCUCAAAGGGUUAAAUACUUCAUAUGGCUUGCCAUCCAGAAAUGUCUGCUAACUAAUGUGGAAAGAAUGAUGAGGCGUAUUAAUAUGGAUAGUUCUUAUGGGUACUGUAAUUUCGAGGUUGAAGAUGUGGUACACGCCUUAAGAGAUUGUCCUGUAGCUAGAGAUAUUUGGGAAAUUAUUGUCCCUAAGGAUAAGAUACCUCUAUUCUUCUCACGAGACCUAAUAGAGUGGCUAGGUUUGGAUAUGCAAAAUCAUCAUCAAAUACAUCUAGGGGAUAUUGAUUGACAAUGUUUCUUUUGUCUUAUUGUGCGGCGAAUAUGGAAAAAUCAUAAUUUACUUUUAUUUUAGGGUAUUCCAUGGAGUGUAAAUGAUAUUACCAAAGUAUCCUAUAGUUAGGCUAAACACUAUGGACUCUCUAAUAAUAAGGUAACUAAGGACGCUUUGUAUAUCCCAAUACCACCUUUGAUCUUAGGCAAUAAUUGGGUUCACUUAAGAUUUGAUGGUUUUGUUAAUGAGGGAAUCAGUUUUGCUGCAGUUGGGGGUGUUUUGCAAGAACAGAAUAGAGGAUGGAUUCUAGGUUACAACAAGUACUUGGGCUUUCGUUCUAUUACAGAAGCUGAAUUCUAGGGCAUCUUAGAUGGAGUAACGCUUCUUUUGGAAUGGAAAUACAAAUGAUAAUUCAAACUGACAACAUGGAGAUAGUCGUAGCAAUUCAGAAUGAGGCCCGUAAUAAGUUAGACUCUACUCUGAUCAGGAGAAUUCACCAAAAUUUAUCCAAAGUAAGACAUUGGGGCAUUGAACAUAUCCCUAGAGAACAUAAUGGAGAAACUGAUGGAAUUACAAGACAAGUUAAAGAUAGGAGAGAAGGCCUUCAAAUUUUUGAAGUUUCCCCAUUGGGGAUCUAGUUCUUUUUUAUUGUAAUAUUUUCAGUUUAUUUUCUUAUUUCACUUAUUUCACACACAAAAAAUACCCAAAAUCAUAAUUAAUUAACACAUUUUAUCUAUUUAUAAUAUAUUAAUUAAAAUUUUAUUUAUUUAUGAAUUAUCUAUAAUUAAUUGGUGAGAGAAUUUUCCUUUCAAACCAAUGAAAACAUUUAUAUCUCAUUUGGUUCAUAGUGACAUUAAUAUUUCAACGUCACGUCUAAAAGUUGAAUAUAUGUACUAGCAAAUUUAAUGUCGACGUGGUAUUGUUUUUGAAACAGUUUAUAAAUUAAAAUGAUAAAAGAAAAUCAUGUGAUGCUAAAUGCAAUUGAAUUAAAUUUCAUCAAGAAAUGUCCAAGUUUUUGUUCCCACUCACAAAUAGAGAUGCACCAUUGUGGAAAAGUUAGCCAACCGUUUAGAUUAUUAAAAUAGAACUAAUUGAAUAGCUGGUGACUAUGGAAAUUUUGGUCUUUCCAAAAAAACACAAGGUUUUAUUAAAAGGGAGUCAUCAUUGAUUUUUUUUUGUUAAGUGUGUUUUUUUCAUAAAAUAAUUUUAAUUUUUUUUUAAAAAGAUAAAUUUUAAAUUUAUGUUAAAUUCUAGAGAAAAAAAAGUCAAUUACGUGUGAAGAAGGUUAUAGUACCCCUACAAUACUCAAAAUUGGUACCUUGUCAAUUAUAUAGUUACAAAAAUAUUCAAAAUUCAAAAAAAGAAAAUCUAAUUUUUAAUUGUGAGCCCUUGAAAUAAAAUACUUACAUUUCGAGUGAAUUAAAAUUUUAUAGUAAAAUAAUUUUCGAUAUCCAUAAAAAUACUAAAAAAAUCUUUUUAAAAGAAAGUAAAACUUGUGAAUUCACUCGAUUCCAAAAAAAAUAUCUUCAAAUUAAUUUCAUCAGUGAUUUCUUCCCCGUUUCGGGUAGGAGUAAGGAUAACGCUAUAAUAAUUGUUGGAAAGUAAUGCCAAGGAUCACACUAGUUGGAAGAAUCCAUGCAAAGCAAACCAAGGACUAAUUAUAGAAAAGUCAGUCUACGUUAAAGUGACAUAAAGCUCCAAACACCCGUCUGUGAUCCAGAAAUGUUCAACCUCUUAUCCCCAAAUCACUCACAAAUAGUAAUGACAAAUUGUGGAAAAUGUUCUCAAUAACUACAAGAAUUAGAUUCCACCCAAAGUAAAGCAAGGACUAAUUAUAGAAAAGUCAGUCUACGUUAAAGUGACGUAAAGCUCCAAAUACCCGUCUGUGAUCCAGAAAUGUUCAACCUCUUAUCCCCAAAUCACUCACAAAUAGUAAUGACAAAUUGUGGAAAAUGUUCUCAAUAACUACAAGAAUAAGAAUCCACCCAAAGUAAAGCAAGGACUAAUUAUAGAAAAGUCAGUCUAUGUUAAAGUAUCAUUUAACUCCAAAGACCCAUCUUAAAUGCAAUGUCAACCUGUUGUCCCCCAAAUCACUCACAAAUAGUGGAAAGGACUCUCAAUGACUAAAGUAUAACCCUAAAGACCCGUCUAUGUUAAAUUUGAACUGUUUGUCUCAUUCAAAAAGACUAAUUGUGAUUGUACAAUAAUUCUUGGACUAGUUGGAAGAAUCCACCCAAAGUAAAGCAAGGACUAAGUAUAACCCUAAAGACCCAUUCAAAUGUUUGUCUCAUUCAAAAAGAUUAAUUGUGAUUGAGAAAUCAUGUCAAGUUGUUGGAAAAUUGGAGAGAGAAUUCUACACCCAUGACAAGUAUUAAAAGAAAGAACACAAAUGCAAAUUCAUAUAGUCUUUUUUUUUUCUUUCUAUUAUUUCAUUUUUGCAAUGAUGAAACGUUUAAAAUUAUUUACGUCCUAGUUUUACAUGAACAAAAAAGUUUAAUAAUGAAAAAGCCGAUAAAUAUGAAAAUGUUUUUUUUUAAACUUUUACUUAUAUUAUUUAUAAAUCCUUUUUAAAUAUUUAAAAAAUGGAUAUAAUUUAACUAUGAGUAACCUUCUUUAACCCUUAAAUUAGGAGAAAUUAUUUUAUGGAUCCUUCCUACAACAUCAUGGUCCCAUCCAAUUAAAAGAUGGCACAUCAUCUUUUUUUUCCACAUCAUAUGUAUAUGUAUAACUUUUAUUCAUUUAUUUUUUUAUAAUUUUUUUCUCUAUUAUUGCUUCUUCUUUUUUAAAGUUUGAGGAUGUUUUUGAUGCAUUUUGAAAAUUCAAGUACCCAGUUGAAUGUAGAAAAAAACAGGAGCUUAAUUGCUCUUUUUGAAAAGGUUUGAGGGCCUUUUUAUGUAUUUUGAAAGUUUAAGUACCCAAAUGAGUGAAAAAAAAGCAAUGGCUUAAUUACUCUUUUUGAAAAGUUUGAGGGCUUUUUGCACCCUUAAGCCUUUAAAGAAUUACAGUGACUCAAUUCGAUUUUUGGAAUUACCAAAUGUGAAAGCAAAUAUUCAACUUAGAAUCUUUUAAUCUUUUAUCAGGUGCUAUUGUUUUAUUUUCUUGUGUUACUUGAGUAUUUGAUUUAUCUUUGAUAUAUAGUGUUGCCUAAAAAGCAUUUAUCUGAAAGUGAAAAAAAGGAAAAAGAGAAAACAUGCUGAAGAGUUAAAAAAAAAUAUCACAGCAAAUUGCUAUUGAUAAAUUUGUUUUUAAAAAGGUAGCUUUUAGUGAAAUUUUGGAUCAAUCAAAUGAAAGUUUGUAUAAUGAUGUCAAUGAGAAUGAUGAAAUUAAUGAUCCAAAUGAGCCUAAUGAUGUGCCAAAUGUAUCAAAUAUUGAAAAUGUUGGCCUUAAUUAAAAAGAAGCAAUUCCUCAUGAUAUUGACGUUGAUGAAGAACAAACGAUUCCUUCUUUGGAUAUUUAUGAUCCUAGAAAUUGGGCUAAUCUUGAUAACAAAACUAGAGACAUUUUAGUUGAAAAGGGGCCUAUAAGAGAAAUGAAUCUUGAGGUCGUCAAUGUUGCAAGAACGGUUGAAUGGUUUGACAAUUUUAUCAAUCAAGAAGGAUUUUUUGAAAAACAUUGAUGUUGAUGUUAUCAUUAAUGAUUUUGCAUCUCAGAAUGCUCGUAGAACAUAUUUAUUUAUAUUUUUUUUGUUUUUUGUAAUUGAUGACAUAGGAGUAGGUUGAAUGAAAAAAUGUUUUUCUUUCUUAAUUUUAUUAGAAAAAUAUAUUAUUUGCUUAAUGUUAUAAAACGUAUUAUUUUAAUAAAAUUACUAGUAUAUGAUUUAUUUUAUUGUAUUACAUUUUAUAUAUUUUUUUUAAAAAGGUCUGAUUUAUUGUUUCGCCUAGGGCUCCAAAAAUGUCAAGAACAGGCUUAGAUUGGACUAGAAUUUUUAAAUUGAAAAAGUUGGAGGAUUGAAUUUUUAACUUUUAAAGUACAAAGACUAAAUCUCAAAUUCUGAAAAGUACUAGGAUUAAUAGCAUAUUUUAACCAAUUUAUUUUUGUGAAAAAAUAAAAAGAAUAUAUAGUAAUUAAAAAAUUAUAUUUCUUAAGUGUUUUUUUUUAUGGAUUAUGUGGACUGUUGUGAAGAAAAUUUAGGAGAAAUUUUGAAAUUUUGCUUCUUUGUACGUAUUUUUGAAAAUUUAUUUUGAAAUUUCUUCAAAAAUUUGCUUUCCUUUCUAAUUUUUAGCGUAGUCUAAAAUUUAUGAAAUACAUUUUUCAUCAUAAAAAUUUAUGAAGUUCCACGAUAAAAAGUAAAAUCUGGAUUAAUGUUGUAACCCCACUGAAUUUAAUGUAGGAGAAGUGUGGGAGGGUUGAAACAUAUUAAAGCAUGCCCUCUGGGCUAUUUUAUCAAUUCAACUUCCCUUUUCCUACUUUUUAUUUUCUUGCCUUAUUCCGUCUUGCUAUCAUGAACUACAACACUUGCUUUCAUCUUCUUUUAGCUUUUUUCAUACCAUGUUCCGUACUUUGCUUGGCUAUGACAGCUAGGAACCUAAACUCCGAUCAGUUUGCACUUCUCGAGUUUAAGGAUCGCAUUGCUGGUCCUCAAAAUGUCUUGGCAAACAAUUGGACGGCCUCUACCUCUGUUUGUAAUUGGAUUGGUGUUUCAUGUGGCAUCCUCCAUAAAAGAGUUAUAGCUUUGAAUCUUACAAGCAUGAAUCUUAGGGGUACUAUCCCUCCACACCUUGGUAAUCUUUCAUUUCUACUUUCUCUCGAC